RNAcentral lists this long non-coding RNA (65017 nucleotides) under Pelobates cultripes (western spadefoot toad). The record is from RNAcentral. Lineage: Eukaryota; Metazoa; Chordata; Amphibia; Anura; Pelobatidae.
GCUGGUUGAAGGAAUGUGAAUUCCUUUUGUAACAAUAGUGUUAAAUGUUACAGUACACUAUUAAACAAAAGAUGAUACUGCUGUGAGCCUGGGUAACAUCUGCAUCACAUGCUGGAGGUCUGGCUUUCCCUUCUGCAGCUCCCUGAUAAACUGCUCCAUCCCCUUCCCCACCUGAGUUGAUUUUAACUGCUGCCUGUGCAUUUCUGCAGAUAAACACCGAGCAUCAAGUGAUUUCAGCACAAUCUUGAACUGGAAUAAUGAAGCUUUCACAAACUGCAGGGGAUCCAGCUCUGCGGAAAGAUGUCUCUGAUCCUAAAUAUAAAGGUAAUAUCCAUAAGACUAAUUACCAAGGAUAUAAUAGAUAGAAUAGAUAGAUAGAUAGAUAGAUAGGUGAUAGAUGAAAUCUGAAGGUGGUAUCAAUGAGAAGUAAUACAAUGGAUUCAUAGACCGAAUAUUGAAGGUAAUAUCUGUAAGAUUAAAUACACAAUAGAUAGAUGGAUAGAUACAUUAAAUAAAUACAUACGAUAUAUUAGAUGAGAGAGAUGAUAGAUAGAUUAGAUAGCAUUAAAUAUGUAGAUAGAGAGAGCAUACCUUAAAUAUGUAGAUAGAUAGAUAGAUAGAUAGAAUCUACACAUGUAAUACAUUCUAUCACACUAGGAUGCUAGAUAGAUAGAUAGAUUGUAUUACAUGUGUAGAUACUAUCACACUAGGAUGAUAGAUAGAUAGAAUGAAUGUAUUACAUGUGUAGAUUCUAUCACAUUUGGAUGCUAGAAACAGUUAUUUUGUUAAUAUCUGUAAAAUAAGCAUGCUCACAACUACAAGCACUGAUUGAAAUAAUGCAGAAUUAUUUAAAAUCCUUUGCACAGUUGCUGUUACUGCAGUUUUUUUUAGAAUUCUUUUAGACAAUGAAUUAGAUCAAUGAGAUUCCCAAUAGAUAUCACUGAAUUAUCACAGAGCUAUUGCUAACAAUUACAGCACCUGUAAUCCCAGGUGUGAAAAAAAAUCAGGUAUGCAAAUAUCAUUUAUCUGUAGGUCUGAUUUAUAUACUUCAUAAUAGAUUUUCAAUUGAUUAUUUCUGUUUGUGUAUACAGAUUUAAAAUUCUAUGUGUAUAAUGGUUAUUUACAGAGGCUGGACAAUUAAACAUCCAGUAUAUUAAAAGCAAGCUUCUUAUGACAAGUAGGGUGACUCCUUAAGUAAUGGACGGUGAAUAGUGGGAUAUUGCAAUAGUUGUCAAAAAGAAACAUGCCAUGAAUGAAAGGCGACUGUACUCCACUCUCUGUGCUCAAGACUUUCAUGUGAAAGUUCAGUGACAUUUAAAUGUGAUGUCUGAAGAUACCACACAAUUUGGGAUCCCCAACUUCGUUGAACAAAUGUUGGCAAAUUUUCAGAUAUCAAGGCAUCAUUUGGCAUCCACCAAAUGUUAUUCGGAAAACAGUCUAAAAGAUUAUCCAUAAUACCUUAUUACUUUUUAUCUUUGCUCAAAGGUUGUCUGUCAAUCCUACUUAAACUUCAGCUACAUUGUAUAUUUGUUUUAUAAAUGGGAUCACACGUUUCAGAUUCACUGUUUCUUCCACCUCCUCUCCUCCCCCCCCCCACACACUUUUGUCACUGUACAUUUAUGGUGUUAAGUGGCUGCAAUAGCCAUCUUCUCCUACUGACACAGUUGAACCUUUUGCAGUUUUUGUCACUGUGUAGCGCAUGUUUUCAUUUGUAAAACUGUUCUCUUGACAUAUUAAAUAAUUUAGAUACUCUUGUGAUGGAUACGCUUGCAAUUUAGACAUCAGAUUUCUUUAUGCUACUUUGAAAGCUCACAAAUUAAAUGUUAUUUAUUACAGUACGCAAUAUUAAUUGGUUAUUAACCUAAUAUAACGUCGCACAUGCAUACAUACACCCAGUGGGUGUUUCCUUUAUGAUAGACAGACAGAUAGAUAGAUAGAGUUACUUUUUUGUUAGCCAAGUAAAUAGGCUUUAGAAUGUACACAAGGACAUAUAUAUAAAAACCCAAAGGUGAUAUAUACAAAUAGAGGGUGGUUAGGAACAAUACAACCUGAAUAUGGCUGAAAGUCACUCCCUGAGGAAGUCACUACAGUGACGAAACGCGUUGGAUACUACUUUUGGACUUUUUAUGCUAAUAUACAGCUGUUAUUAUAGUCCAUUUGUUAUUUUUAUUUAUUUUAUUUUUAAAUUUUGUGUACCUCCAUUUUGGGAUCUCUCUCUACUUUCAUCUGGAGACCCGGCCAUUACUUCAUUAUGGAGAUAUGCUGUCUAACUUCUGAUUUCUUGUAAGUGCAAUAUUUUGGAAUAAAUCUUGUUAUUUUUAUACAAUCUGCACUAUCUAUAUUUUUUCUUUUGUUCCUGAGCUGAAGGAAAAAGGGAUAUUUUAUUCCUGAGCUGAAGAAAAAGUGAUAUUGUCAGUCCUCGCCAUAUAUAUUCGACCUUCAAUGUGGAAAGUACCCCUGACAGGGUGACAGGCGUGAUUACUACUCCCUUCUUGUAAGUUCUCUACCACGUGCAAAUCCAUUUUUGCCUAACUUACUUCACUAUAUUUUGUAUUUUGCUAUUUUAUAGAUUCCACGUCCAUUUUCAGCCAAAUUCAGGUUGUAUUGUUCCUAACCACCCUCUAUUUGUAUAUAUCACCUUUGGGUUUUUAUAUAUACGUCCUUGUGUUUAUUCUUUAUAGUGUGUGUGUGAGGUACACUUCUUUGAGGGUGUAUUCUUUUAGUGUAUAAUAUAGUAAGCAUAUCCUUUUUUGUAGGCUUUAGAAUGUAUUGAAUCUUUAAAUAGCUAUUAAAGGACCACUAAAGUAACCCAGGCCACUUCAACUCAAUGAAGUGGUCUGGGUGCAGUGGACGUUUACUUUUAACCCUGCAAUGUAAAACAUUGCAGUUUUAAAGAAACUGCAAUGGUUAAAUCUAUAUCUAGUACUGAUUGAUCGAAUCUUGGUCAAAUGAUGCACAAGCACCAUUAUGCACAAGCACCAUUGAUUCAAUACAAUCUGUUGCAUUGCUGCCCUGAUCAGAAAGAUGCCAAGUACCCUGCUUGACUAAUAGCCUCUCCCUUCAUUGCGUAAAAAUAUUGCCUCUGACAAGUCCCAAUAGACCAUAUCCUUUUAUCCUUACAGUCUGAUAUAUAUAUAUAUCAUGGGAAAUAAAAUGCACACCCUCUUUGAAUUCUAUGGUUUUACAAAUCAGGACAUAAUAACAAUCAUCUAUUCCUUAGCAGAUUUAAAAAUUAGGUGAAUACAACCUCAGAUGAACAACACACAUGACAUAUUAUACCAUGUCAUGAUUUAUUUAAAAAACAAAAAAAUAAAAUGGAGAUGCCAUGUGUGAAUUUCUAAGUACACCUUAUGAUUCAGUAGAUUGUUGAACCACCUUUAGUAGCAAUAACUUGAAGUAAUCAUUUUCUGGAUGACACAACUUUAGCCAAGCUGUAACUAUUGAACAGAUGGCCCUACAUUUGACUCUAGAAUACGUUUGUAUACAGAGCAGUUAAUUGUCAACUUAAUGAGUGCAAGAUACCCAGGUCCUGUGGCUUUCAAGCCCAAAUUAUAACCCCUCCACCACCGUGUUUCACAGGUGGUAUGAGUUGUUUGUGCUGAUAUGCUGUGUUUGGUUUUGGCCAAACAUGCUGCUGUGCAUUAUGGCCAAACAUAGACAAAUAUAUCCACUUUGGUUUUGUCUGUCCAAAGAACAUUGUUCAAGAAGUCUUCUGGUUUAUUCAGAUGCAACUUUGCCAUCUUAAGCUGUACUGCCAUGUUCUUUUUAGAGACCCUUCCAAACAAACCAUACUUGUUUGGUCUUUUUCUUAUUUUACUGUCAUGAACGUUAAGAUUUAACAUGCCAGAGUCUGAGAUGGAACUUGGGCUUUUUGCAAUUUCUCUGAGAUGAUCUGACCUUUGUGUAAAUUUGCUGCAACGAUCACUCCUGGGGAGAUUUGCAACUGUCUUUAAAGGAGCACUAUAGGGUCAGGUACCCAAACAUGUAUUCCUGACCCUGUAGGGUUAAAACCACCAUUUAGCCACCCUGGUCCCCUCAUGCCUCCCUAAAUAUACUAAAAUCUUACUUGUAUUCCAGUCUGCAGAUGCUUACUUUGUCCCUGUUUCCUUUAGACCUGCCUACUGCCUGCUGAAAUCAGCAGAAGUGGUAGCCUGAUCCAAUCAAUCACAAUGCUUCCACAUAGGAUUGGCUGAGACUGACAAAGAGGCAGAUCAGGGGCAGAGCCAGCACAAUUCAAACACAGCCCUGGCCAAUCAGCAUCUCCUCAUAGAGAUGAAUGGAAUCAAUGAACCUCUAUGAGGAAAGUUCAGUGUCUGCAUGCAGAGGGAGGAGACACUGAAUGUUUGGAUGCAUUUUAGGCAGCCAUGACCCAGGAAGGAUCUCUAACAGCCAUCUGAGGAGUGACCAGAGAAGUUAACACUAGGCUGUAAUGUAAACACUGCAUUUUAUCUGAAAAGACAGUGUUUACAGUAAAAAGCCUGAAGCUAAUGAUUCUACUCACCAGAACAAAUUCAAUAAGCUGUAGUUGUUCUGGUGACUAUAGUGUCUAUAGUGUCUCUUCAAUGUUUUCUACUUUUGAAUAAUCAGUCUCACUGUAGAAUGAUGGACUUUAAAUGUUCCAGACCAACAAACUACUAAUCCGUUGGCUUUUAUAGAAGUGGUAACACUUGCUGAUGAUUAAUUAACCAAUGGCAUUUGAUUAGCAACACAUGUAUGCUACUUAGCCUCUUAGUUCCUAUGGAGGCAGUAAAGGUGUUAUUUGUUUUUCACACAAUCCUCUUCUAUUUUGGAUUUUUUUUUUUAAAUAAAUCAUGACACGGUGUAAUAUGUCACAUGUUGUUGUUCAUCUGAGGUUGUAUUUAACUAAUUUUAAGACAUGCUAAAGGAACAGAUGAUUGUUAUAAUGUCCUGAUAUGUAAAACCAUAUAAUUCAAAGACGGUAUACUUUCUUGUUCCCAGGACUUUAUAUAUAUAUAAUAUGAAUAUAAAAAAAAUACCGGCACUCUAGGCUUUGUUCAUCCGAUUUAUUUUUGGUGAAUUCAAAGAUGUCAACGUUUCAGCUCCCGGUCGGAGCUUUCAUCAGGACACAUGAAAUGGCAUACAUUAAAAUGACAAACAUAUACAGGACAUGUUAACCAAUACUCACUUACCAAAUCAGCUGUAUCACAUCACCCCUGAUGCUUGGCGUGCUCUCAGCGCAUAUGCGCAUGUCUGCCUUUUGUCAAACCACUCCCCCCGUCAAGGAGUAGCUGUGGCCAAUCGUUUACCUGCGGCUACGUCACAGUCCCAUGGCAACUGUUUGUUACAACCUCCAUCUUGGCCGCCACUGUGUAAACAACACCUGCCGGGAGAAUAUCUCCUUUUGCAGCGAUCAGCCAGCCCAGUCCAUGACGUGGGUUUGUUGACGUUGCUAUAGCAGCAGUUCCCCGCCGUGCCUAAGGGGAUAUGGAUACAGAUGUAUCCUUUACAAUAUUGUUACUAUAUUUCAAAAGAGAAGCAUUUCUUUCGCCUUCAUGAUCUCACAUAUAUAACUGUCCUUGCCUCACAGUCUGAAAGCAUAAUAAUAGAAACAUAAUAAUAAAUAGUGUUGUGAGCAUAAACAUACCUAUUGAUAUAUGUAUACAAGUGAUGCUAAAAAGUGGACCUUCUACUAAGGUGUGUUAUUUGUAAUUACCAAAAAGUGUUAUAUCAAUAAAAUAUAUAUAUAUUCUUUCCUGCACUGUAUAUAUCUGGUGCUACAUAUGUGACGUAGCCGCAGGUAAACGAUUGGCCACAGUUACUCCUUGACAGGGGAGUGGUUGGACGAAAGGCAGACAUGCGCAUAUGCGCUUAGAGCACGCCAAGCAUCAAGGAAGAUGUGAUACAGCUUCUUUGGUGAGUGAGUAUUGGUUAACUUGUCCUUUAUAUGUUUGUCAUUUUAAUGUAUGCCAUUUUAUGUGUUCUGAUGAAAGCUCCGACCGGGAGCUGAAACGUUGACAUCUUUGGAUUCACCAAAAAUAAAUCGGAUGAACAAAGCCUAGAGUGCCGGUAUUUUUUUGAUAUUCCUAUAUUGCUGUGACUUGGCACCAGGUAUUUAAUAUUUUUUUUAGUAGGAGUGCAAGAGGUUGAUCUGUUUUAUAUACACAUUUAUUUUUUAACUGUGUGUUUGAAAUGCCAAGCAUUAUUUGAGAGAUAAUAAUUGACACUUAAAUUGUCAAAACAAUAAAAAAUUCUGUGUUGUGACCUUUAGGGUGAAUGGUAACUAGUGCAAGCUGGUACUUUAAAUUAUGAGCUACCAGCAGCAGAACUAUUCCCAGGGCCCACAAGCUGAGGUGGCCAUUAAGGGUCACCAGAAGGACAUCUAUGAUUAGGGAACUAAGAUUACCAAUGAGCCGAGCGGGAGAGGGAUAGAGAAGAGCAUGGGUAAGGGGCUUGGACAAGAUUCCCAUCAGAUGCCAGAUGCAACUGGGCCCAAGGGAAGCCAACCUUCUGCAACCAAAAUGUAUGGAAGCCGGGAGGGUUUAGUAAUAUGUAAAUUGUGAUCUUUAUGUGUGUAUGCGUGCAUUUGUGUGUGUCAGCAUGUGUGUAUGUAUCUGUGUGUGUGGCAGACCUCUCAGCAUUCAAACCUACACCAAAACUACAUACAAACAUCCCCUGCAUUGGAAUACCAAAACUACAUAAAACAUAUGCCUGCAAAUGCCAACUCUACAUACAAAGGCUACACACAAGUACACCACUGCUAUUAAAUAGCUACAGUACAUACAAACACACAACUGCAUUCAAAUGCCAACACUACACACAAAUACACACCUGUGUAUGUGCACACCGACAUACUAUAUAUAAAAACAUACUUGCAUUCAAUUCAUACUGCUCAUAAAUACAGUCCUGUGAAGAUUGGCACAGAUCCCCUGCUUGCAAAGCAUCAUAGAGGAAGUUGUCUGAUAAAUGGGGAUCUACCUUUUGGCCAGUCACACCACAGAGAACCGAAAAAAAUUCUUGCAACAGGUUCCUCUUUACAUUAGUCCUGCCACUGUGAGCUACAUAUUGUUAGAGGGUAAUUAGCUGUUAUCUAUAUUAAACUUGUUACAGUGAGGAUUUAUAACCUAGUUUACAAUGAAUCACUGUAACAAACACAAUAAAUAUAAAGUCAUCUAAUUAAUCUAGGCUGCGCCAUGAGUGUGUGGUGGGUUGAGAAGUAUGUGUUUUCUUUAAAUAGACAUAAGCAGAGAGUGGGGAAGGGAAGGGUGACGUGUUAAGAGGUCUGCAAAAAAGUAUCUGUAUGUGAGAAAUGAAAGUUUGAUGAGUGCUUGUUAAGACACAUGAAAGUGAAGCUGGAGGUGAAACGAGUUUGUGCAUAGCAUUGAAAUGUGAGAAGAAAAAUGUGUGUGUGAGUACCUUUUUCAUGUGUUUGUAAGAAAUAUGGUAGUAGGCAACAGACUAAAGGUAGUAUUCUUAAAUGUUAUGUAUACUGAUAGGUAUUAAGUAACAGAUUAUAGAUAGGGCCUGCUACCAUGAAUAUAAUCAGACAUUAUGGAUUAUACGUAUCUAUAAUGAAUUAAUGCUACAGGUAAUAAACGAUUUGAAGACUUUCAACUUGACUACUUGUUAAAAAGAUGUAGUCCUAAUGAUUGGGAUUAUAAAAUAACGGAUUCGAUCAACAAUAAAAGCCCAGGCUCUCCGCGAUAGUGAAUAUUGUCAUUUGAUCCAUCUUUCUUUGGGUUGGCAAGUAAGCCACAUCAAAACAUGGAACUGGUAAUUGGGAAGAUGCACAAUGUGUUCUUGGGAAGAGAUGCAAAGGUGCAUGAGAUACUGGUUUAUAAAAUGUUUUGUGGUACGUCACAGCGGUUGGGAAGGUGCAGGUUUGUGUGAUGGUAAUUUGGAAUGGGUUCUAAAGUGUGUGUGUCAUAAGGCAGGGGCUUAAAAGCAUAGAAAUAGGAGUUAUUAUGGAUGUUAUUAUACUUAGUUGAAAUGGUGGGUACAAAGGCAUACAUAUGUACAUCUGGAAUAGCAUGUACAGAGGUAUACAAUGGUGUCUGUCUACUUGUGGCUGAAAUAGAUCUGUGUUUGAAAAGGAAACAAAUUACCAUGUUUAAUUAGUUUAAUCCAUUGUUAUAUUUGCACACUGAGAACUAGCCUCUCCAGAGAAAUACAGGAUGCAGUGCAUGCGCAGGAAAGAUCCAGGUAAGCUUUAAAUCAUGCAAAAAAUAUUUGACAGAUUAUACUGGGGCACCACUAGGAGCUUCUGGCACCAUAACCACUACAGUGAUAUGCAGUGGCUAUGGUACCUAUAGAGACUUUUAAAUAAAAAAGCCUUCCUAAAAGAAUUGGGGAUCCAGUUAUUAAUAACGUAACAAUUUGGAUAUAUAGAUCAUCCCUUUGAUCUUUCUCCCACUCUCCUAACUGCCUCUCUUCUGUCUCUAGAUCGACAUAUGCCAGAUAACAUUGCAUGUACAUAUUCUUCUCUUACAAAUGUAAGUGAAAAUCUUUACAUACAACAGAAUUGAAGGAGCUGUUAUGUUGCAGUUCACGCCUGAGCUUUUGCCAAAUGUGCAGCUCUCUAAUUAGGCUGAAAGCUAUGGAGAGCCAGUGGUUCUGCAUUGCUGGAAACCGCAGCAUGUAACAGAUAUAGAAUCUCACCUAUCACCAUGGCAACAACCCCCAUUCAUUGCAUAUGACAACACAGACAGUCCCAACGUAUUGACAUUAUAGGGCUAUAAGAUUUAAUAAACAAAGCUUUUGUACUCCGAACUGGUAACAAUGAGCAAUAUAAAUCUUGAUCAACAAUCCAAGUUGAAUACACAAAGCAUACUGCGUGUAAAUGAAUAUAUAUUUUUUUGAAGGUCAUAACGGAGAUUUUCAUAAAAGGUUUGCUAUUUUUAGGUUUUUGGCUUCAAGAUGCUCUACUGGGUUUUCCCAAGCAAAUCAUCAGCAAAAAUCGUUGCAGUGAUAUCCCUGGUGAGUCUACAUACGAAGAGACUAACUAUAUAUGUGUUCACAGAAAAAUACAGAUGAGAGCUUGCACAACGUGCUAUUAUGAGGCAGAGAAUUAUGGACAAUUAUUGCACAGUUUUUUUUGUUUGUUUUUUUAUAUUGUAAUAUAAAGUGAAUUUCUAGCCUGAACUGUGCCAUUUUAUUCUACUAACAGGUGGAGUGCCAGCGGGAUGCUUUGCUCUGCUGUCUGAGUAUUACGAUCACAGUGGUAGUGCAAUAGAAUUAGUGUAUAUUGUGUAUGGUGCAUUCAAAACAAGUCUAAUUCAAAUAAUUAUUCAAUAUACAACAAAUUAUUCAGGGGCAUAGACUCUGGCAUUUUGAUUGUGAUCUAACAACAUAUUUCAACAUGACCAGAUACACAGGAAGUGUAAAAGGUUACUUUAUUGUCACAUUUGCCAGUUUACACAAGCCAACUUGUUAAAGGCUCUUGUCUAAGCAGAAAUGUUCCUUAUUUGGCAAUAGAUUUCUCUGUUGCACUUCAAGUGUACCCAAUAUUGUCUAUAUACCAUUGUUAAGAAACUUGAUUGUUCCAGAUUCUGGAGCACCGGGAGUGUGAUGAGUACCUUCGCUUUAUUGUUUUAAAAUCAUUUUACAAUUUAAUAACUUAACAAUUUGGAUAUAUUUCUCUUUCCAUGAUCUUUCUCUCACUCUCUUAACUGCCUCUCUUCUAUGUCUGACUGUCAGGAAUAUUUGAUUGUAAACUAAUAGUAACGUUUACCGGACCUUAUAAUGGCCGGACUAACGUCACAAGAACAGAGAAUAGUGGAAACGAGCCAAGGUCAGGGAUGCCAGAAAUCAGGAACAACGAGAGUACAAGAGCCAAGAUCAAAGGAAUACAGAAGGUAAAAUAGUCAAACAAUGCCAAAAAGUAAAAAUACAAGAGAACCAUACACAAAAAACGCGCUAUUUGGACUAUGAAGAACUACAACAGGGCAAUGAGACUUUCAUUGGACUCCACCUAAAUUCGGUGUUCCUUGAUUUGUAGCCACGGUUGAAUUCUAACGUUUUGGUGGGCCGUGAUGUCAUUUGCGUUGUGAUGUCGGAAUGCAUGCGCCGCGUCAUUAAAAGGGGCGGGGUUAUCGGGGGCCAGCGUGAGAAUCGCUGGGAACAAGUGGAGAGCUGUUGGAUAUGUCCCCAAUCCCCCAAAUGAUGGUCCAUUCAAAUAGGAGCUCUUCUGGACCUAUCUUGGGUGCUCUGACUGUAUCUCAAUCUCUCAUCAGUACGUGAUAUAAACAUUAUCAAUUCUCUGGAAGAUCUCUAGUUGCUAUUUCAUCUAAAAUAGUAUAUGAUAGACUGUCAAGGAACACAUCUACAAAGGCUUGAUUGUUCCAAGCCAACUCAGAUGCUAGAGAUCUGAACGCAAGGGCAUAUUCUACCAAAGUUCUGGUUUCUUGCUUAAGACUAAGAAGAGACCUGGCCACAUUGGCCUUCCAGAAAUCAGGAACAUCAAAAGUAUGCCUAAAUGCUUCAUCAAAUGCGGCAUAGUUGUACACCAGCAGGUUGUCAUUUUCCCAGAGGGAAUUAGUCAAUGUCAAUGCUCUACCCACUAAAAGAGUUAUAAUGAAACCCACUUUGGCUCUAUCUAUAGGAUAAGAACGUGGCUGAAGUUCAAAGUUAAUGCUGAUUUGGUUUAAAAAAAACCACAGCAAGCUUCAAGUGCACCACCAUAAUGUAAAGGUGGUUUGACAUGAGACGAGGUCCCAAGUAGCUACCUCAAGUCCCACAGGCUGUGGGGUAACUGAGGGAGUACGGCUUUCAUCGUGUACGUGGGUUAGACCGAUUUAUCAAGGUCUGUAAAGCAAUAGCUAUCUGAUCCAUGCGAUGAUCCAUUUCUUUGAAACAGGUAUCGUAUGGACCUGCAUGGGUACUUACACCUGCCGGAACCAUAUGGCCCUGUUGUCAUGUCAGGAAUAUUUGGGGAUCCUACACACAGAGUGUAAAAGAAUAGUAACUUAUACCGGACCUUAGAAUGACUGGACUAACGUCACAAGGACAGAGAAUAGUGGAAACGAGCCAAGGUCAGGGAUGCCAGAAAUCAGGAACAUCAAGAGUACAAGAGCCAAGGUCUAAGGAAUACAGAAGGUAGAAUAGUCAAACAAUGCCAAAAAGUAAAAAUCCGAGAGAACCAUACAAAGAAAAUGCGCUAUUGGGACUAUGAAAAACAACAGGGCAAUGAGACUUUCCCUGGACUCCCCUUAAAUACUGUGAUCCUUGAUUUGAAUUCAAAUGUUUUGGUGUGCCCUAGCAUCAUUUGCGCCGCAUCAAAAAAAGGGGCAGGGCUUUCGUGGCUGGUGUGAGAACAGCUGGGAAUAAGUGGAAAGCUGUUGGAUAUGUCCCCAAUGAUGGUGCCAGCUUGUGGUAUAGCCCGAGCCAACACACAAGGUACCCUGACACUGACUGGUUGUCCAUUUCCUGAAACUCUUUUUCAAAAACUGUCGUCCUUCAAUCCCUUGAAAACAAUCCCUCUUGGUUAACUCUCUGCAGAUCAACCGUAUGACCAUUAACUUGACCACUCAACUCUUAAGCUCCUUGCCUUGAUAUUAGUUUUGACUGUGGGCUUACUUUUAUAUCUUAAAGUCCUAAAAUUUACAUCUCUGAAAUAUAUCUCUCAUGCUUCUUUUGAAUACAUAAUUUCCUGCCUUGACUAAUGUAACACAUUCUGAAUUGGUCUCUCCAAGCCCGUACGUUACCAUUACAGUCUCUAAUGAAUGUACCAACCAGGAUAUUAUUAGUUUCUUGCCACUCCUCAAUCAUGUGUUUACGAAUCCAUCCUUGGAUUCAGGAUCCAAUUAAAAAUACUAGCACUAACCUAUAAUCUUAGUGACACCAACAAGAGGUGUCAUAGAAAAGUCUGUGUUUAAAAUCUUUACACCAGAACCACUCCAUUAAUCUGUAUUUGUUCAAAUUAUUGUAGUGUUCCUUUAAGUUACUGCCAUCCCAUACAUGCUUUUCAUGCACAGUACAACAUAUAGGUAAUAUAACCUGGAGGUAAAAAGAUCGAGUAAGGUAAAAAGCAAAUCAUAUGUUUACUGUUAAAAUGUCAGGUGUAGCCAACCACUUUCUGUAAUACGAUCCUAGCUACUAUAAAAAAGCAUAGUAAUACUACAGGAGAGACUCUGCAGACAAUGCCGCAGGGUUUGAAUACUAUGCUGCUACCUAUUUUGUACAGAACUGAUUUAUCAUCAUUUAGUUCUAGUCAAUGUUGUGAAUGUAAAAAAAAGUAGUUAUGUAAGUUGUAUUAAUAAAUAGAUCAUCUAAAAUUGAAAGUUAAGAGACUAAAUGACAACCUUUAACAGCAUUAAAAAUGCAUAUUUAUUUAUUUUUUAUUUCAUUUUUUUUAAAACAAUGUUAAUGUAGACCUUUAAAAAGGAACAUUCCAAGCAGGGUAAGUAGACAAACCAUUUGCAAAUAACUUGACAACUUAUCAGAGAUCUGCUGGGCGCUGGUCACAGCCUCUAGGAGAACCAGAAGCUCCUGCAUGUAGUUUCUAUUAGCUCCCCUGAACUAAGCUCUGCAGUGACUGAGAGUGCCUUCCGUCAAUUAACUAAGCUCUGCAUGGCCAAACUAUCAGUACAGGGUGCUCCUUGCUCUCCUGGAGGAGGUAACCAGCACCCGAUGUACUGGAAGUAAAUGCGUUGCAGUGAUUAAUGUGCUUGAAGUGUUCUUUUAAGAUUGUUUGACAGAUAGAGUUCAAGUAGGAGGAUGCUAUGCAUAAAUAUAAAUAACAGAAAAAAGAAUGGGCAAUAUAAAAAUUGUGCUGCAAACUUAUCAUACGUUUCCAUAUAGAGUCAUAGUAUAUUAUUAUAAAAUGUGAGAAAGCAAUUAAAAUGACUGCAGUGAUAUUAUUAAAACUUUAAUUAGGAAUCUGUUUGAAGAAAAGCUUGAAAGGCUUCAUUUGAUUGUCUUUUUGCCAUCUAAAUAAUCAUGUGGAAUAAAAAGUCUGUCUUUCUCUCACCAGUGCUCUCAAACCCCUCAAGUGUUCCUGGUAGAUAUACAAUGAAUUUGGAACGUAUUCACAAAAUUGUGUGUUGGGCACCUCAAAGCUAUUCAGAUAUUAUCAGACACGCCUUGAAAUAAACAGUGGAGUAAUUAGCAAUAUGUCUGAUACAUUGCACCAUCCCACAAUAUUUGUUUAACCCCUUCACAUCGCCACUUGUGUAUACACGAUUGCCAGUGUACACAUUCAUACACGGCAACAUGUAUGUCCAGAAAGUCACAGCUCAGCAGCAAUAAAAGCCACCAACCUGUGAUCUCCAUAUUACUGAUCACAGUAAUAGAGUAACAGAGAAACCCUCUCUGUGUUCCGGUCUGUCCUCUGGUGUUCUGUUAGAUUCUGUUCCCUUACAGAAAGUGUUUCCCUUCACAGCUCAGGAUCAAGGUUCUGCAAGGUAAGUAGCUAGGUGAUUCACUACAGCACUGGUACAUUAGAUAUUUAGGGUUAAGAUGAGGGUUAAAAUUAGGGUUAGGAACUAAUUUAGUCUCUCAUAAUUCUUAUUCAAACGGUAACCCUAGAAGUGAGGUUUAAAUUAAAUUAGCCCUAGACAUAAUUGUAUAUUUAUUUAUUUCCCUAAGUGUCAGUAAUCUGUAAAAAAACAAACAAAAAAAACCUAUAAUUCUAACUCUAAUUUUAAGCCUCACCUUAACCCUAAAUGUCCCAUGUUUCAGUGCUGCAGUGAAGCACCUAACUAUAAGCUAAGUAAGUAACUAACUUUACUAACCUUGCAGGCCAAGCAGCCUUUUCAGACACAGAAAACCUAAGGGAGGAUGAGUUCUGAUGAUUGGCGAGCUUUGAGGGGAAGCAGAUUCCGAUAAGAAACUGAAUCUGACAAAACACGGUCAGUCCGAGCUGCAGCAACACUUUAGAGUAGGGGGAAAGCAGCCAGCAGCUCGUUCUACCCUGUAUGUAGAGCAGGGGAUGAAAUAUGACAGCUCAUCCUCCCUUCUCCAUGUAAAGCACAGCAGGGGAGCAGCUGUUGACAGACACUGGAGAGACAGCCACCCUCCCACAGAGCAAAUGGAGGGUGGCUGAAGGGGUGAGUGGAGGGAGGUAAGCACCUCAGCUCAUCUAAAAAUAAAACAAGCAGCAAUGUAUGGGAAGGCUGCACAGGGAAAUACAGCCUCCUGACAAACUCUAACCUCCCUCAGACACACACUCAUGUUGUCACAUAGAGUGUGUGUGUGCACGUGUGUAAUUGUGUGUCCAAAGUGGCAACAGGGCUGAAAUGUGAGGGUGAUAUGGUAAUAUCAUGGUUGUCACGGUUUUCAGGUUAACCUAAAUACGCACACAGGUUACAAACACACAGAAUUGCAAUACCAGUCCUUAGAAUGGCUGGGCUAUGCAAAGAGAUAGACUAGUCAGAGUACAAGCCAAGGUCAAGGAUAACAGAGAGAUAGACGGAAUAUGAAAGGACAAGCCAAGGUCAAGGAUCAAAGAAGACAGAGUAAAUGUGAGACAAGCAAAAGUUUGGUAACCAAAUAAACAGACACAGUAUAAGUGCUCUUGGGCUGUCAAAAACCACAACAGGGCACUGAGAUAAGGGGGAGAUUUGCUUAUAUAUGCAUAGGGUGCUUCUGGUUGGCUAAUUUCCAUUUAGUAUUGAUUACAAAACGUGGAAGGUGUUUAGUCCUUCCAGUGUGAUCUCUGACAUCAUUAGUGUGCGCCGGGUCAUGUAACCGAGUCGGGUGCACAUAUAAGGACGCUGCACACAAGCGAGCAUGCAGCGUCAGAAAUAUUGCCGUCCGGAAGUGCAGAGGCAGGAACAGCCGCAAGUAGCAGACAGGGACCAGAGGACACAGCUCGUGGUGAUGGGGCAAGUAAAGUCGCGAGCAGCGUGGAGGCAGGGGCCUGACAAUGCUAAUGUAGCAAUAUAUACAUAGGGAAUAUAUACACUGCCUGGCUAAAAAAAAAGUCGCCACCUGGAUUUAACUAAGCAAAGGUAAGAGCCUCCUAUUGGAUAGUUACUGUAUGAGCGAUUAUCUUUCAGCAGGCAACAAGUUAUUUAACACCAACUGAUGCAAUGAGUAGCUUCUCAUUUCUUAAACAACCAUGUCAAAAGACACAUCCCGUGGUCGUGGAAAACAUGUUAGUCUGUUUGAGAAGGGUAAAUAUUGGCAUGCAUCAAGCAGAGAAAAUAUCUGAGGAGAUUGCAGAAACUACUAAAAUUGGGUUAAGAAUUGUCCAACACAUUAUUAAAAACUGGAAGGAUAGUGGGGAACCAUCGUGAUGGGCGCAUUAGGGUAAGAGGAGGGGCAUAUGAAGUGAUGCACUCAUCAUGCCUAGUGCCUACUGUACAAGCUUUUGGGGGCAGAGCUAUGAUCUGGGGUUGCUACAGUUGGUCAGGUCUAGGUUCAGCAACAUUAUGUACCCAACAAAUAAGGUCAGCUGACUACCUGAAUAUACUGAAUGACCAGGUUAUUCCAUCAAUGGAUUUUUUCUUCCCUGAAUAUGCACAGGCAUAUUCCAAGAUGGCAAUGCCAGGAUUCAUUGGGCUAAAUUUGUGAAAGAGUGGUUCUUGGAGCAUGAGAUAUUAUUUUAACACAUGGUUUGGCCACCACAGAGUCCAGACCUUAACCCCAUUGAGACUCUUUGGGAUGUGCUGAAGAAGGCUUUGCGCAGUGGUCCGACUCUCCCAUCAACAAUACAAGAUCUUGGUGAAAAAUAAAUGCAACACUGGAUGGAAAUAAAUCUUGUGACAUUGCAGAAGCUUAUCGAAACAAUGCCACAGUGAAUGCGUACCAUAAUCAAAGCUAAAGGCGUUACAACAAAAUAGAGUGUGUGACCAAUUUUUUUUGUGGCAACUUUUUUUUGGGCCAAGCAGUGUUUAUAUAUAUACGCACACACACACAUACACAACUGAGUGCAUAUUGUACAAUGUAUAAAUGAGAGGCUUAUAGCACAUGUGAGACAAACAGUCUAAGUUACAUAUUGAGAAACGUUUUUUAUUUACAACUUUGUUUUUCGUUCUAUAACCUCAUUAAUUGGUAAACAAUUUUUUUUAAAGUUUUUUUUUUCCAUACAGACAAAAUGUUGUCUUUUGUUUCCAUUAAAUAAUGCUCAUAGUGAAAUGAAAAACACAUUUAAGGGACACUAAAGUCACCCAGACCACAUCAGGUCAUUGAAGUGGUCUGGGUACAGUGUCACUAUUGCCUUUAGUCUUGCAAUAUAAAACAUUGCAUUUUAAGAGAAACUGCUAUGUUUACAUUGCAGCAUGAAGACUGUCUCUAGUGGCUGUUUACCACACAUCCGCCUUGCUAGGAGACUUUUGAUCGCCUAACUACAGCUGGAUGUCCUUACGCUCUGCAUGAGGACAUCCAGUGUCAGUGAAUACUCCAUAGGAAAGCAUUGACUCAAUGAUUUCCUAUGGGUAGGGCCUAAUGCACUUGCAGCGCAUGCACAUUAGGUCACCCUAUCCCACCAUCGGAUUACGUUGAGGAGGCGGAGCACCAACAUAGCACCAGGGGACAUCUGCGAUGGAAUCCGGUAAGUAAAUAAAGGGUUUUAGCCCUUUAUUGGUCGGGUGCUGCAAGGAAGGGUAGGUGGGACCAGGGGAGUUAUACUGUUAGGAAUACAGGUUUGUAUUCCUAACAGUAUAGUAUUCCUUUAGGCAUUUCUUUCCAGCACACCCAAAAUACUAGGAUUAUGUGGUUAAAACACAUAUAAAAUGAGAAACAUAAAAUGAGACUUUAUUCUUGCUUAGCAGAGUAACACAGACAUAAAGCAAACUGCUGAAAACAGUUCAAUAGAAAAUUAGUCUAAUUUCUGUUCUUAAAAACAAAGUUUUUACAGUAAUUUAGACAAAUAAGCUGCAAUAUAAAAAAGUUCUUCUAAGAUAUCUUUACACCCUACAGUCACUUUUAUUUGUCUGCAUAAAAUGGCAAACAAAUGUUGGUAUUUUAAGCUGCACAGGUGACAAUGACGCAGAUAUAUAUAUAUAUAUAUAAAAAAAAAUUACAUCUCCUAAUUGCUGAUGGAGAAAUGCAUAUAAAAUUCUUUCAUGUCCUUCAUUCUGUGCAGAACGUAUAUGCAGCAGUUACACACUAAUAUUACAAGCCCUGCAGGUGUUAGUAGCUUGUGUAUCAUAUGAGAAGCUACAAUGCAAUUAUUACAAGUGGGAGUAGACACAUUAGAGUUUAGGUAAUUACUAACUGCAUUGUGAUGCACAUGCUAUCCAACUCUUGGCCUUUUGUCUUUCUAAAAUUCUGUACAUUGUUUACUGAUACUAGGUAGCAGUAGUUAGGUCCCCUUAGCUGCACAGAGUCAUUUGAAUUUACUUUUUAGACACUGUAGUAAUUCUUCACUCAUUUUUUCCCAAUGAACAGGAGAACACACUUUGUCAUUUUGGAUAUGUUGACCUAAAAUGUGUAGUUUCCUCAAUUCCCCAUAAUUUCUAGUUUAGUAAAUACACUUCUAGGCAUAUCUUUAUACAUUUAAUCCAGUAGUAUAUAGGAGGAGGUUAUCGUUCUAUAGAGAAAAUGUAAAGUCUUUGUAUUGUCUGUGGUAUUUUGAAAUUAUUACAUUUUUGGUUGCUGUUGAUGAGUUUCCAAUUUGAAACCUCAUUAUCAGAAACAGUCCUGUUUUUUUUAGGAUUGCCUAGUUAUAUUGGGGGAGAGGGGGACUGUAAAUUUAAUCCACACACAACUGCCUAGAAUGUUCUGUCCCCUCCUAAGAUAUUAUAUCUGCUCAACUCUUAUCCUCACAUUUACAAGCAACUUCCUAGAAUGUAAUGUCCCCUCCCUAGAUGUUAUAUCUGCUCAACUCUUGUCCGUCACAUUUAUUAAAAGAGUUAAGAAAAGAGUGCCAAGAAGAAUGUAUUAUUGUCAAAACACAGUUUGAAUGCACAGGUAUUUGGAGCUGUGUACAAUAAAAAUUAAGUUUACACUUGCAGAUCUAAAAAGAUUGUUUAUUUCAUUACAUCCAUUUGUGUCAAAUAUAUUUAUCAGAAGAUUUCUUAAAUGAGUAAAAACUAAUUUAAGCAGCACUAAGUGUAAAAGGGACACUACACUCAGAACACUUCAAUUAGGUGAAGUGGUCUGGGUGCCUAACAUAUGGAGAUUUUUUUUGACUAGGUACGGAAUAUGACAUCUUUUAAAUGAGCUCUAUUUGCCAUCUCGCAAAUUCGGGCUCUUUCAAUUGCAUUGUUCAUAGCAUUAGUUAAAGAGAUCCUAUAGUGUCAGGAAAACAAACUUGUUUUCCUGGCACUAUAGGCUCUUGGAGUGCCCCCUCCCUUGGGGUGCCGAAGGGGUUAAUCCAGCGCCAGGCUCCCUCGGUGCUGGUGACCUAUCCUCCCCGCGCCAACCAGAGACACGUACGCAUUCAAACACGUGCUUUCCUAAGGGGAUCUUUUUUGACACUCAGUGUAAAUCGCGGAAGCGCCUCUAGUGGCUGUCAGGGACACAGCCACUAGAGGCUUGUUUAACCCUGCAGUGUAAACAUAGCAGUGUUCCUGAAACUGCUAUGUUUUCAGCUACAAGGUUAAAACUAGGGGGGCAUUGAGCUGAAGUGGUCUGGGUGCCUAUAGUGGUUCUUUAGUGGUUCUUUAUGCCCAUUGAAGUGGUCUGGGUGCCAACUCCCACUACAUUUAACCCUGCAAUUGUAAUUGUGACAAACUGCCAUUUGCCACUGGGCAUUGGAGAGGCCUGUUUGCCAGCCUCCUGCCCUGCGACUAUGGCCCUGGGAUGUAUUGCCCUUUAAGGAACUGAUUUGGGCAUACUGUAUUUUAUUAUGCUGCUGACCCUUUAAGAACCAUCUGGGGACAUACUGUGGAGUUACUGGGUGGCCACCAUUUCAUGUAUCAGAGGCACAUGGUGAAAAUAAUGGAUGAAGCACAUGGUGAGAACAAUGGAUGGCGGCCAUUUUAAAUCACAGACACUGUUUUGACUUUUCUACACUGUGCCAUCUCGCCGGUAUUUGGUGCACAAAGACAUCGUUCAGUAGUUUUAAACUACAGAACAGGGGACACAUUUAACAGUAAUUAUUUUUCAUAUAGCCUGUAUAUGUUCUGCGGAAUCUACAUUAAACCGUAUCUUCCAAACUUCUGAACGGAUCUGCGUGAAUUUUGGAUAUGUGGUUCACCCAGAUCUCCCGGUUCCGAAACGCCCAGCCGUUGCAUCCCCUCACCUCACUUCACCCCACUUAGCACUAUGCACCCGAGGGGAUUCUAAUUUAUUUUUUGUUUUUCACUUUUUAUUGUUAUUUUUUGGCAAUGAGUAGCUUUAUUUAGUAUAUAGCUUAAGCAGUAUCCAGUACUAUAGUGUAGACGGAUGCAGACACCGAUAUCAAGCAUAGACUUAGCGCAGAACACCCAUGAAGGUGUUUCAAGGAGUUUAUAGGGAACUAGUCUAGCGGUGUCCAUUAUAGCAGCUCUGUUGAACUAGAGUAUAUUUAGCCUAUUGGACUUUUAGAUCGCUAAUUGACCAGUUUCCCUUCUCCUACUACUCUGCGUUAGGAGUUGCUGCCUCCUUUGAUGAUUUGGGAUUGCUAUAUACCUACCCCCUCUUACUAGUGGAUAAAAGUGAGGGGAUUUAGUUUGCAUCCCACUUAGUUACUGGAUAUAGAUUUUUUUAGUUAUCUUGGGGCAUUAUUUCGUUAAUAAAGAUUUUUUUUUUCCUCUUAUUUAUUAGUUUUUGCCACAAGAUAUUCAUAGAUCUAUUUAGAUCUGGAUCGUUUACUGCUUAUUUGUCUAUAUACUACUUCAGUUAUUUCCAAGAGAUAUUGUAUUUUUGGUGUAUCCAUCAUUUAUCAGCAAUUGGAGGGACCUCCCUGUGGGAGCCCUCCAUAUUUAGUCUUUCCUAUUAUCUAUAUAUUAUUUCUGGGUACAAGCCCACAUUGAGGUGGAGCUGAUACCACCGUCCUGACCCAUCUUUUUCCUGCCCCUGUUCCCAGUGUUUUUUUGCUGGUCAGGACAGUAGGAAAAUUAAUUUUCUCUUUAACCAAUAAAUAUAAGCCUAAUUUUAUUGAUAAUUUAUAUUUUUAUUUCUUUGAGUGGUUGUUGCGUAGUCAGGGCCCCAGUGCAUUGGUUUGCCCAGUGGACUAUUAUGCUGUUACGAUGGCCCUGGUCUAGGGUAUGUGUGUGCUCUGAUGAUCAUGCUCCUACAAAAUGUAAAUGAAAAGACACUCAUUUGAGUACCAGGAAGGGGAUGAGCUGUAACAGCCACUUCUGGCCAAGAAGAGAUUAAAAACUUAUGUAUUUCUCUGUUUUGUUUUGGGUUUUUUUUGCGAUUUUUGUAUCGCUAAUGGGUGUCCAAUUUUUAUAUUUUCAAAAUCUGGUCACCCUAGACACAUGGAAGGUUGAGAGGGGGCAUAGGGACACAUGGAGGACUGGGAGAGAGGGCUAAUGGGACACAUGUGGGGGCUAGUGGAUUAUAUGCAAAUGCACGUCUGCGUCUGCUUACAAUAAAUCUGCUCUGCUUUAUUUUGAAGCCCUAUAAGUGCUUUCUUUCAUGUUUGAGUGCUAGUUUUCAGGUUUUUUCCUGCUUCCAUAUCUGCGCACUAUGCUGGCGCACUAUGCUGGCGCGAUGAUUUACGGGGCUGGUAUGGAAUUUUUUUCCAGGGCUGCUUUUCAUUCCAAGUCCGGCCCUGCAUGUCGCUGCCUCUGGUAAGUGAGAGAAGGGGCUUUCACCCCUUCAGCAACCAGGGAUUGGGAGAUGGGAGGGAGAGGGGACCUGCAGUGCCAGUAAAACAAAUUGUUUUCCUGGCACUGGAGAGUCCCUUUAAUGUUUGAGGCUCUAGCUCUAGAAUUUCUGCAUGGAUAUUUUUCUUGACCUGCUCAAGUGUACACAGUUUGUUCACAUACACUCACUCCUUCAGAUAUCCCCACAGGAAGUAAUGAAGAGCUUAAAGGUCGGACGAACAUGGCGGUCAAUUAAUGUGGGAAUUUAUUGAAAUGAUCCUCUCGCUGAACAGUUGUCUCAGGAGGUUUGAACUACUAACAAUUAAGUUACUUUUCUGUCAAAUCAUAUUCUGAAUUUUAGUCCACCCUGUAGAUGUUAAAGGAACACUACAGAGUCAGGAACACAAACAUGUAUUCCUGACACUAUAGUGCUAAACUCACCAUUUAGGUGGCUUGCCCCCACUUAGCCACCUUAAAAAGUAAUAAAACUCACCUUAUUUCCAGCGCUGCAUGGGUCUGUGGGAGCUGUCCAUGCCCCCGAUCCGCCUCCUUGAUGACAUCAUCAGAAUUGCCAACUUUUGAAUUGGCUAAAAUCAGCAAGGAAGCAGGAUGGGGCAGGGCCAAACGUCAUUUUGGCCAAUCAGCACCUCUGCAUAGAGAUGCAUUGAAUCGAGUGGCCACUUGGAGGUGUCCCAAGGCAGUGUUUGCAUGAAAAUGCCUGAAGGCAAUGAUUUUACUCAAUAGAACAACUACAUUAAGCUGUAGUUGUUCUGGUGACUAUUGUGUCCCUUUAAGGCACAGUUUGUCAUGCUUAUAUGAUAUGAGAUCUUCCGGCGGCAUCUGAAGUGUGGUGCUCUCAUUUGUCUCUCUAUACAUUUUGGUUCUGAAUUUAUGUCACUCCAUUUAUUAUGCUGUUUACUUUCCUAAAUAUCUGCGCCUCCCUCAGUGCGCAGUUUUUAGAUGCGUAUCACAUUUUUUUUUUCCAUAUAUAGUUUUUAUUUAGUUGAACAGGGUAGGUACAUACAUUUCGUCCAGUUGACAGUGUUAGAUACAUAAAUCAUUACAUUGAAGUGUUUCACUACANNNNNNNNNNNNNNNNNNNNNNNNNNNNNNNNNNNNNNNNNNNNNNNNNNNNNNNNNNNNNNNNNNNNNNNNNNNNNNNNNNNNNNNNNNNNNNNNNNNNUCAUCAGGCACCCCAUGCAAGCGAAAUAUUUCCCGAAUAACAAGGUCAGCAGUCUGUUUAGCUGAAGGGAGACCACGAGCUGGUAUGAAAUGACUCAUCUUGGUUAACCGGUCCACAACAACAAGAAUAGUAGUGUGUUCCUUAGAGGGAGGUAGUUCCACAAUAAAGUCCAUGGAUAUAGAUCCCCAGGAACGAUGAGGAAUCGGAAGAGGCUGAAGCAAGCCAACAGGGGAUGAGCGAGGAGUCUUAUGUCUGGCACAUACAUCACAAGAGGACACAUACUUCUUAACAUCCUCAUAAUAUUUAGGCCACCAAAAGGAUCGGGUAAGUAGUUCUUGUGUCUUUUGGAUUCCCGGAUGACCUGCUGGUUUAGAGUCAUGGUAGAGGCGUAAAACGUCCAGUCGCACUGAUUCUGGAACAAACAGACGUUGUUGAAAAAUCCAAAACCCAUUAAGCAUGGUCAUAUGAAGAUUACGAGGAGGAUCACGAAAAAACUGGAUCUUUAGAGUAGCCCUUUUUAAUGCGAGACAUUAGAUCAGAAGGAAAGGUAACUCCUAAAAAUCUGCUCUCCGGCAAGAUGGUGGCCUUGGUUACUGUAGUAUGGAGGGGGGCAGCUAUCCUAGACAAGGCAUCCGCCUUGCCAUUUCUGGAACCAGGGCGGUAUGAAAUAAAAAAAUUAAACCUUGAGAAAAAUAGGGACCAGCGUGCUUGUCUGGCUGACAGUCUCUUAGCGGAUUGGAUACAUUCCAGAUUUUUGUGAUCUGUGAGGACAGUAGUUGGAUGGGUGGCUCCCUCCAAGAGAUGUCUCCAUUCGGUGAAGGCAGCUUUUAUAGCCAAAAGUUCUUUAUUCCCUAUGUCAUAAUUUCUUUCUGCUGGUAACAUCUGGCGGGAAUAGAAGGCACAUGGAUGUAACAACAUCUUAGGUCCAGUCCUUUGAGAUAGUAUAGCCCCAACAGCUGAAUCAGAAGCAUCUACCUCUACAGUAAAUGGCGAUUCUGGCUGAGGAUGUACCAAGAUAGGAGCAGAUGUAAACAGAGUCUUUAAUCUGGAAAAUGCAGUGUCAGCCUUAUUGGACCACUGAAAAGGAGUCCCUUUACGUGUAAGUUCAGUGAUCGGUGUAAUAACGGCAGAGAAAUUCUUAAUGAAACGCCUGUAAAAAUUGGCAAACCCCACAAAUCUCUGUAUAUCUCUUUCAUUCUUGGGGAUGGGCCAGUCCAGCACAGCUUUAAUUUUACUUGCGUCCAUACUUAAACCUUUAGGAGUUAUUACAUACCCCAGGAACUGAACUUCUGUUUGUUCAAACUCACAUUUUUCCAGUUUAAUGUAUAGGUGGUGGGUACGAAGGCGCUCAAGAACAAUGCAGACCUGUUUUCUGUGAUUUUCAAGAUUAUCAGAAAAUAUCAGGAUAUCAUCCAAAUAUGCCACAACAAACUGGUCCAGGAGAUCCCGUAGUACAUCAUUGAUUAGAUGCUGAAAAGUUGCAGGGGCAUUACAAAGCCCAAAUGGCAUUACUAGAUAUUCGUAAUGUCCGUACCUGGUUCUGAAAGCGGUUUUCCAUUCAUCAUUUGGUCUUAUGCGAACCAGAUUAUAUGCCCCCCAUAGAUCAAGCUUCGUAAAUAUUUUAGCUGAACGAAGUCUCUCCAGAAGUUCAGGAAUGAGAGGCAAGGGAUAACGGUUUUUAACAGUGAUUUUAUUAAUGUCCCUGUAAUCAACACAUGGUCGUAGACUGUCAUCUUUCUUUUCUACAAAUAAUAUAGGAGCUCCUGCUGGAGAAGUGGAUGGUCGAAUAAAGCCUUUGGCAAGAUUUUCUUGUAUGUAUUCACGAAGUGCUUUCAAUUCAGGCUCAGAAAGGGAGUAUAUACGGCCAAAUGGGAUAGCAGCUCCAGGUAGCAGCUCUAUGGGGGCAAUCAUAAGGCCUGUGAGGUGGAAGCUGAUCAGCAUUCUUCUUAUCACAGACAUCUGCAAAAUCCCGAUAUUGUAGCGGAAGCUUAGUUAAGUUUGUAGCAACCAUUUCAUUAAUUGUUGUGGUAACAGGUGUCGCCUUAGAGGGUUGACAAUUCAUUAAGCAGUGUUCUAAAGGAAAGGACAAAGUUCUAGUCUUCCAAUCAAUCUGUGGGUUAUGCAGAGCAAGCCAGGGUAUACCCAAAAUCACUGGAAACUGUGUUGAGGAAAUUAGUUGGAAAGAUAUAGACUCAUGGUGAUUCACUUCCAGAAUCAAUUUUAAGGGCACAGUCUCAUGUGUAACCGGGCCUGACGUAAGUGGAGAACUGUCUACUGUUUCCAUUAACACAGGUGAAGAUUUAGGGAUAGACUGAAUUUUAUUUUCUGCUGCAAAUUUAAUGUCCAUAAAGUUUCCGCCUGCUCCGGAAUCUAUCAUAGCUGUAGUUGAAAUUUUAUUAUUACCAUAUUGCAAAGUGAUAGGCACCACCAAAUGAGGAUGUUGAGUCAUCAUACCUUCUUCACCCUGAGCCAGAGAAAACAAGGGUUGUAUGACAGAAUCCAGUUGGUCUGAAAUCUGGGAUUGGUGUUGAAUCUGUGCACCCUCAGCAGUCAUAGCUAUUGUUCUUUUAGACUUGUUAGGGCAAUUGAUGGCAUAAUGCCCUGUACUACCACAAUACAGGAAUAAGUUGUGAGUGCGUCGCCACUGUUUUUCUUCAUUGGAUAAUGGCCCUCUUAUUAGAUCUACCUGCAUAGCCUCAGGUUCAGAGUCUGUAGGUGUUUGUGGGGUCGGAGUAGAAAUUCUUGAAUAGAAAGUAGGAGUAGCACUUGGUUUUAAAGAGCCCUGUCUUUCCAAUCUUCUUUCUGAAAGUCUCCGAUCAAUACGGAUAGCCAACCGCACAAAUGCAUCAAACUCAACAGGAAGAUCAACACGAGCUAGCUCAUCUUUUAUAGCUUCUGAGAGACCCCUUCUGAAGUGGAACCUCUGGGCUGAUUGGUUCCAAGUAGUAACAGUAACCCACUGUCUGAAUUCAGCAGCAUAUUCAGCCACAGAGCGCCUCCCUUGAUGUAAAUGAAGGAGAGUGGCUUCUGCUGUAGCACAGCGAUUGGGAUCAUCAAAAACCAGGCACAUGGCCUCAAGAAAGUCUUUUAAAUUUCCCAAGACUGGACUGUCCUGUUCCAGAAAAGGGGAGCCCCAGGCCAGGGCUUCAUCUUUGAAGAGGGAAAAAAUAAAUCCCACCUUCUCUCUUUCAGAUGGAAAACGGUUAGUUAACAUCAUGAAAUGCAAACGGCAUUGAUUUAGGAAACCCCUGAAUUUUUUGCGGUCUCCUCCAAAUUUUUCUGGUAGAGGCAAGCGGGCAUCUUGUGCAGGUGUAACAGUAGUAGUAGCAGCAGUCGCAACAUCAUGUGCCCUGUAGCUGGUAAGCUCACUAUGCAUUGAUCGAACUUCAUUUUGCAGUUCAGCUACCUGAUCCUGCAGCACUUGAAUGGUCUGUGCCUGGGUCUGCAUAGUUCUUGCAUUAAAAGCAACCUGUUGGGCCAAUGCAGAAUCUGAUCCGACGGUCUCCAUGAAUGGGCCAGAUUAUUCUGUAAUGAUAUUGAUGUUACAAAGUUUUGGAGUCCAGUAGCCAGAUCAGCAAUGUUUUCUGCCAGAGGUAGCCACUCGUUACCCAGGUGGUUGAGCCCCUGAGCCUUGAGUCUUAAGCAGAGAUGGGAGACUGGAACAGAAAGAUGAUAAUCGUAGUCAGGCAAGCCGAGGUCAGUGGGAAGGAGAAGCAGCAAAGUCAAAACAGUCCAAAUUCAGCAACAGGAAGGAGAAACAGGAACACGCUGGAUUAGAGAGUACAGGAACCACAAUAAUCUGGCAAAGGUACAGAGACAGGAAGUGGCUUUUAUAGGCCAAGGACCAGACACCUGACCAGACACCUGACCAGACACAGCUGAAGUGAGUUGUCACUGAUAACCUUGACUCUACAAACAAUAGUAUCAGAUCUCAGGUAAAUUUGCAAAAGGCAGGCUGGUGUACUGGUAAGGAAAAGGUUUAGCACCAUGUAAACCAGGGUUCGAAACCCAGCAGAGUCAGUUCCUCACAGAAUGUUAGGUGAUUUCUGCCCUUUAUGGAUUAAAACCAGACUCUGUAUCAACUGUGUAAUUUUCCAUGGGAGUUUUGCCAUGGAUCCCCCUCCGGCAUGCCACAGUCCAGGUGUUAGUCCCCUUGAAACAACUUUUCCAUCCCCAUUGUGGCCAGAAAGAGUCCCUGUGUGUUUUAAAAUUCGCCUCCCCAUUGAAGUCAAUGGCGUUUCGGGCGGUUCGCCGGUUCGCGAACAUUUGCGGAAGUUCGCGUUCGCCGUUCGCGAACCGAAAAUUUCGGGUUCGCGACAUCACUAGUCAUAGGUAGGUAUUGCUUAAUUUCAUUGUUACCUUGGCAUACACCUUCUUCUCUUCUUUUCCUUUAUGGAUCAUAACCCAGAGAAAACACAUGGAGUCAUUAAAAAAAUAUUUCUGUACCUCCAAACUGCAACAUUUUGGGAAAAUGUAUACAAUUUGACCUCAAAUUGCAAAUUUACGGUAGGUAUUCGCAAAAGGGCUUUUAUAUAUAAUCUUAAUUUUAUCACAGGAGGCUUCAUAUUUAGCAUAAACUUCCUUUACUACUCCAUAGCAGCAAAGACAUUAGAGAAAAAAAGGAACCAAUCAGACAGGCAGAGAGUAUAAUAUACGCCUUCCACUGAAUCACUUCCUCUUUCUUUGCUGCUCCAUCACAAGUAAGGUCAGCAUAUUGUGUGUCUACACUUUGUUGGCUUGUCUUGUUAUAUUUACUUAAUUUUACUUAUUUACUUGAUUGAUUUUUUUUUUUCUUACUGUAUACGUAUUUAUGGAGGGUUUUAUCUGAUAGUGGGGACGCUAUAACCCCAAUUGGUCGGAUUUCGGACAUUCAAGCAUUCCACGUGGAUGCCUUCUCAUUUUCUACGGAAGGUUUCACUCUUCAGGUGUCUCAACAUACAAGACGGACGUACAACGCCAGUUUUUUUUACCUUUUUUUUUUUUUUAUCGUAACCCAACUUUACAUGAUACAGACACUGCACACCUACAUACGGCCACGCUACGAUUACCUCAUCCCGACAAUUAUUGGUGUCCUACAUUAAGCCACAUGGGCAAGUCUCGGUUACCACCUUGACCCGCUGGGUACGAUGGCUUUUAUCUCUUGCCGGGAUUGACCUUUCUUUCAGCGCGCACUUAGUUUGGUGUGUGGCAGCCUCUUCCGCCUUCACAGCGGGGGCCUCCUUAUCAGAUAUAAUUCUCCUGGCAGACUGGUGACCAGAACCCACCUUUCGGACGUUUUACUCUCACCCGUCCUCCAUUGCUGCUUUCUCUCUAUUACCUUAGCGUUAAAAAUGCAAAAUGUGAAGCUUCUUGUCAUGUGAUAAAAUUGAAGAUUAUGCUAGCUUUAGUGUACUAAUAAUAUUAAUUUUAAUAAUGACACGAGGCGAGUGUUUUCUCCCCUAUUGAAUUUUCCUCCCAUUCAGGUGUGUUCGCAGCUCCAGGCAACUGAUGUAUAUUAUCAAUUUUCUUGUGACUGUAAUUGACUCUAUUCACUCUAGAUGGAAAGUUGGGGUUGUUUUUCAUAUAUAGUUGAUAUAUGUAUAGAUAUUCUAUAUUUGGUAGCUAUAUUAUGGUAUGUAUGUUAAAUUUUAUAGAUCACGAUAGAUUGUGAUAGUACCGAAUUAUUGCACACUUUUUAUGUGAUAGUUACUCAUAUUGUUCAGGUUUACAUUUCCUAUCACUAAAAUGCUACCAGUCUCUUUCAGCUUAAAAGACACAAAAAUCUUCUACAUCAAGCGUACAAGGAUAUUCAGUGUUCCCAGUUUUGACUGAAUCCAACCGUUGUUCAUCAUUCCUGGAAUUUGAACGGUCUUCGUUAUUCUGUAUGGUUCUCCAGUUGAUUGUGUGACUUGUGAUGUUGCCGUUAUCAAGAGAAAAUGACUCAGUGGAAGGCGUAUCUUAUUGUCUCCGAUUGGUUCCUUUUUUCUCUAUAUGUCUUUGCUGCUAUGGAGUAGUAAAGGAAGAUUAUGCAAAAUACUCGCCUCCUGUCAUUAUUAAAAUUAAGAUUAUUAGUUCACUUAAACUAGCAUAAUCUUCAAUUUCCAUAUGGCAAUGAGAACAUAACAAGUGCACACCAAAAAAGGACAUUGUCAGCUGGUUUGGUAUACCACAGUAACAGGUUAAAUAUGAAAACAGCCCAUAUUCUAAUCUCAGAUAUCACAGACUUUUGUUUUGGAGAGUCUAGAAUUUGAAAAAAGAGAUUGGUUAAGUACUUUUUUUGCACAAAUCAUGGAGUCGGGACCAAAACGGGGUAAGUCAGGAGCAAGAUCACCACAUGCAAACGUAGCUGCAUAACCUCCUGCGUAGGUCUGAAAGGGAUGCAAACUAUGUGCUUGAGAUUGACAGGCAUAAUGUACUAAGUAAGCAACAUUUUAAUCACCUAUUCAUGUAAGUUACUGUAGACACAGAUUUUUCUGUAUGUUCCAACAUGUUUGACCAGUCAUUAUUAGUAAUGUCACCACCCCGCUCAUUCUCCCAUGUGCCAUUGGAGUAAAAGUAUCUUUGGUUGUAUUCAGAUCACUUGGUGUCUAUUACGGUAUUGUCCAUAAAAAGUACAAAUCCCAUAUAAAGUCCUGGAGUUUGGACAAUUACCAAACACUAAACUUAGCGAACUUAGUCCUUUAUCGCAGGUACAUUGAUGACUUGAUUUUUAUCUGGAAGGGGUCAGUAUUUGAUUUUAGAAAAUUUUUAUAAUAAUCUUAAUUACAAUAAUUGGGGUAUAGCAUUAACGCCAGUAAAUACAAUAUAGAAUAUCUGGAUUUAGAGGUUUAUAUAGAGAAUGGGGAGUUAAAAACUAAAAAUGUUAAUGCUAACAACUAUGUACUAUAAAGCAGUGGGCACUACACUCCAUGGCUCAAUAAUAUCCCAAUGGGCCAGUUACAGUGGAUAAUAAGAAAUUGUACUGAUACCGAUGUUUUUAAAGAACAAGCUCAACUUUUAAUAGAUUCUCAUAUAAAAUAUAUCCUAAAGAAUUGGCUCAUAGAGCAUAUAAUGAAAUGUUGGAAAUUAAUCAGGAAGACCUUAUAAAAACAAAAGAGAAUAGGAUUGUUAAUGUAGGUAAUUCUGAUGUAGUAAAUCUAGUAUUUGAUUUUAAUGAGUCACAUUGGAAUGUAAAAAAACAAUAUUAACAAACAUUGGCACCUUCUAAAAAAAGAUAAUGAAUUAGCCAGAAUAAUUCCUGAAAAACCUUUUAUCACUUUUAGGGGAGCCCCAAAUUUUAAUUUGAUUUUAACGGACAAUCACCCUAAAAAUUAAGUAACAAGACAUUUUCUGGAGGAUAAAAAGGGUUUUUAUUCAUGCAAUAAAUGUAAAGGUUAUAAGGUUAGCAGGAUUAGAACCCUAAAGGGAGUUAAUAAAUUUAAGACCAAAUACAGUGAAAGGGUGUUUUUAUAUCAACGAUUUUAUCACAUGUUUUACCAGGAAUGUCGUGUAUCUUUUAAUAUGCCCAUGUAGCUUACUGUGUGGGUCGUACUAUACGCCCACUACAUGUAAGAAUUAGUGAAAAUGUCAACAAUAUUUUGAAAGGGUAUACACAACACAGUGUAUCUGCACACUUCAAAGACCAUCACAACAUUGACUGGGUAUUCAGAUAGUGAAUAAACCCUAUAGCGGUGGUUACCAUAUCCAGAAUAUAGGCAAGGAAGAAAUUAAGUGGGUACACAGAUUGAAAACCCUGUUACCCCAUGGUUUAAACAUUGAAUUUGACCUUUUUAAAUUUUUAUUAAAAAAUAUAUAUAUUUUUGUAAAAUAAUUUUUAUAAUAUUGUUUAUUAGAUAUAAAUUUAAGCUAAAUAUGUAUGUACAAGUUUUGCAAGUAUAUACUUGUAUCUAUUAUUAUGCCCUUUCCUCUCUAUUUUAACCUUUCUCCUUUUAGGGGUACUCACUCUAUUGCUACCUGCCUUUAUGAGGAUGUGGUUAACAGGGCUGCCAUCAGAAAUGUUGGGGCCCCUGACACAGCUCAAGGUCUGGGCUCCCCGGUGCCUGCACCCGAGUCCGCCCAAAGUGCUGCCCCCCCCGAAUCCGCCCACAGGGAUGCAGUGUCUACAGGGCCGGUGCAAGGAUUUUUGCCGCCCUAGGCAAAAGUAAAGUUUGCCGCCCCCCCAUGUGACAUCACAAUGCCCCACCCAUAUGAUCUGCCAUGUUAACUAACACCAGUGCUGCAGUGCCGCCGUGUUUACAUUAAAAGGCCUGCAGGGACAGGCUAGACACCAGAACCACUACAUUAAGCUGCAGUGGUUCUGGGGACUAUAGCGGUGGUUACCAUAUCCAGAAUAUAGGCAAGGAAGAAAUUAAGUGGGUACACAGAUUGAAAACCCUGUUAAAGUGUCCCUUUAAUGUGAGGUAAAUUAGAGAUUAGUGCCACGAAUAAUAUACUAGAUUGCCUACUUACAAUCAGAUGAGGAUGAUGAUGGGCUCUAGCUGCUGUCUCGCUCCACUGGUCUGGUGUACAACAGGCUCUCUGGAGGCGGUUUGUAACUGGUCACAAAAAUCACUGUUCUGGGAGAACGGGAAGCAGCUCCAUUUUUUUGAGGGCCCUUUACACAGCUCAAUGUCUGGGUCCCAGGGUCCACCUUCAUGUUCCACCAAUGAGUUUGUUCACAGGGAGUGGAGUGUGUGUGUGUGUGGGGGAUGUCCUGAUGUGUGUAAGGAAUGCAUUGUGUGAAUCUGUGUAAGGGCUGCAAGAUGAGUUUGUGUAUGUAUGGGAUGCAGUGUGUGCGUCUGUAAGGGAUGCAUUGAGUGUGUGUAAGGGGUGCAUUGUGUUUUGCUGUGUGUAAGGGAUGCAUUGCUUGUGUACGUGUAUCUGUGUGUAAUGCAUUGUGUGUUUUUCUGUGUGCAAGGGGUGCAUUGUGUGUGAUGGAUGUCAAUCUCUCCCCCUCCCCCCCGUCAAUUUCCUUCUCCCCCCUCUCCCUCCAAUUUCCUUCUCCCCCCUCUCCCUCCAAUUUCCUUCUUCUCCCUCUCCAAUUUCCUUCUUCCCCCCCUCCAAUUUCCUUCCUCCCGCCUCAAAUUUCAUUCCUCUCCCCCCCCCAUUUCAUUCCUUCCUCCCCCUCUCCUCAAAUNNNNNNNNNNNNNNNNNNNNNNNNNNNNNNNNNNNNNNNNNNNNNNNNNNNNNNNNNNNNNNNNNNNNNNNNNNNNNNNNNNNNNNNNNNNNNNNNNNNNCCUCCCUCCCCAGCGGCAGGCUGAGAUACAGGGGGCAGAGGUAGUUGUUCCUGCCCCCAGCAGCCAAGUGAUAUGCCGGGAAGGCAGUGUAAAGUGCAGGGAGAGGAGAGCAGCGUCCUCCCUCCCCAGCGGCAGGCUGGGCUACAGGGGGCAGAGGUAGUUGUUCCUGCCCCCCAGCAGCAGCAUGAUUUUUUGGGAAUUGGGAGCCCAGUCUCCAUUCCCCAGCGGGAGAUACAGCAGGGAAUUGGGAGCCCAGUCUCCAUUCCCCAGCGGCAGAGUGUCCUACCGGGAAUAGAGAGCCCAGUCUCCUUUUCCCAGCAGCAGGACACUGUAUUGGGAGCAGAGACAGUCGGUCUCCCUCCACAGAGGAUGAAAGUAUGUAUGGGAGAGGAGCUUGCUACCACCUCUCCCCAGCGGUGGAUCAUUAAUGGGCAGGGAAUAGAGAGCUCAGUCUCCUUUCCCCAGCGGCAGAGUGUUCUAUCGGGAGAGGAGCCUGUUACCCCCUCUCCCCAGCGGCAGCUUAAUGUAUCAGGGGGAGACAGUAAGCCCCACAACUGUGCAGAUGGGACCGUAGUCUCUACACUGCCAGCACAGGGGGUAGGGACGGUCGGUCCUGCCCCCCAGCGACAGGGCUGUUUAGCCAAAGGGGAGACAGUCGGUCUCCCCCUUCAGCAGCAGAGAUGGGCAACCAAAGGGGAGACGGUCGGUCUCCAGCAGCAGGACUGUGCAUCUAAAGGGGAGACAGUCAGUCUCCAGCAGCAGCAGCAGAGCGGUGUAUUUAAAGGGGAGACAGUCGGUCUCCCCCUCCAACAACCAGGCUUCCACCAGGCUACCCUCCCAGUAGCGCUGGCAGCAGGGCAGAGUGCCGCUGGUCUCUGCCCACGCAGCAACCCACCAAGUCAGCGUACCCGUACCCAGCACAGCCGUGGUGAGGCACCUGGACAUGGACAAGCUUCUCCUUUACCCAGGUGUAGUAACCAUUCAUUGUGGGUGGGCUGUGCUGUUGAUUAUUUGUUGUGGGUGGGCUGCUGGACUAACAAGGGCACUGACUGGCAGGAGGUCAGAUACCCUGUUAGUCUGUUUGGAAAAGGGGAGAGAUGUGACGAGACCAAUCUCGCCACAUUGCAUUGGAGAAGCCUGGUUGCUCGCCUGCUGCCUUUGGACUAUGGCCCCCUUUUUAAAGACUUUAUUUUUGCCUGCAGAAAAGCUGUAUUCGUGCUUUUCUGCCUGGGGUUCAGUAGAUUUGUUUGAAUGUGUUACACCCCAGAUAGGAAUCCCAUGGAGCCCAUUCGUAUGAAACUGACUGUAAAGACUUUGGCUCCAUGGCGAUUAAACUGUAUUCGUGUGGUCUGAGCGCCAUUCACUUAAUAAUGUGCGCUCAGACCUGAGCUAUCUGGGGAUAUGUGAAAUGUCUGUGUUUUAUGUAUAAAAGGUGACUUUAUGUAUUUUAAAGUGUUUUGUGUCUUUUGCAACCAUGUGCUUAAUGGAGUCUUGUGUCUGUCCUGGGAGAUAAUUGAAUUACUUAUCUCCAGGAUAGAAGACUCUGAAACUGGUUUGGGCCAGAAAGCCAUGCUUCAUUUAGUCACAAAGGACUUUUUGCUAACUUUUGAACCCCUUGUCUGAUUUGUGCCAUUUUUGAAUAUGUUGUUCCCCUGAAUGGAUUGAUUGAGAAUAUGUAAUUUUAUGUGAAUGUGAUGUACGGUUUUGGAGUUAUGAAAGUUGGGUAGAAAGUAUGUUUUAACUGUUUGUAUAAUUGAGUUUCCUCUCAGGAUAAGGGGAGGGAAUAUGUGGGAUGUAACUGUGAUAUGAUUGGUUGUUUUAUCCCUCCCUGUGGGUGGUCCUGUAUUUGAAACACUGUAAUAAAACCAGGCUGGGUGUGCCAGCACCUCAGACCACUGCUUGACCCUCAACACGGAGCCUUGUCUCAUUCUUGGGGGGGAUUCACUGUAUGCUGUUAGAGACUGAUUGCCAGGAGUGUAAGCUGAUUGUCUGCUUUUCCUGUUCGUCUGCUAGCAGCUAUUUGGGAGGUUCCAGUUCGGGAGUUGGAGUGCUAUUUUGUAUCAAGUUCGUGAGUUUUGGUGUUCUGCAGUAGCUGUGCCUGUAUCUCUGGAAAGGGGGCCGAUCGCCUAAACGGUUUUUACCCCUUGUGUGCAAAACGGUCCGUUACAGGUGGGCGCCUCCAGUUAUUAUUGGCUGAUCCCAACGGGCAAUACCGGGCAAUAUGUCCUGUGUUGCCGCAGCGAUGGCACGUUACUUUGUAAGAUUCCCGGGGAUGGUUGUUAUGCCCCUGGGGACGUGGAGGCCCUGGGGGUACUGGGGCCCGAAAUUCUGUGCGUGCAGGGUAGGUUGUAGUGCGGGCCUCUGCUCUAGGGGCUGGUCGUGUGUUACUUUGGCUCACCUUCCUUGUUUCUGCAUACUCAUCUGCUAGUCGCGCUGCUUCAGUUAAAUUGGCAGGGCGCCGAUCUCUUACCCAGUCCUGUAUAUCUGCAGCCAGAUCUUGAAAGAAAUGUUCCAUCAAGAACAACUGUAAUAUUUCUUCUCCGGUGUUAGCAUUGCACCCUCGCACCCAGUGUGUUGCCACCCGUUGUAUCUCGUUGGCCCAUUCCAUGUGGGAGUCCACUGCCUUCUUUUUGGACUCCCGGAAGCGACGGCGAUAUGCUUCUGGGGUGACCGCAUAUCGGGUGAGUAGUGCAGCUUUCACCCGUUGAUACUGCGUUAUAUCUUCCGUAGUAAGUGCCCGAAAAGCCUCAUUUGCUUUUCCUGAGGGCUUUCCAGCCAGAAUAGUAACCCAUUGGUCUGGUGGUACUUGGUGUAGCGAGCAUUGUCUCUCAAAGUCCGCUAAAUAUCCGUCAAUUUCUUCUUCAUUCUCUAUAAACGCUUUAAAUGCAGUGAACGGUAUUUUCCUCCCUGUAGCAGCGGGUGGGGGGGGUAGGAACUGCCUGUGUAAUGGGCUGUCUAGCUCUUACCAGUUCCGCUUCUUGUCCCCUCUUAGUUUGUAUCUCCUCCCUUGUUUCCCGGAGCAGCUGGUUUAUUAGCUCCGUGGAUCUUUCUGGAUACCAAGCUAAUCUCCGCUGUACAAUGGCAGAAAUUUCAUCGUCCUCGCUGACAGGUGCAAGAGGUUCUGUUCCCUCCAUAGACCUAUCCAUUUCGUCCAGUUCUAGUAGGUCAGCUAUCAGCUCCCUCCGUGGUCUGUUGCUGGCACUCCUACCACGACUCUCCAAUAAAUCCUUUAAUGUGGGUCUUUUCAGCUUGACGUACUGAGCCUCCAUUCAGCACUUGUUCUCUGGAUAAAAGGACCAUCCCACCGCUGCCAACCAAUGUAACGGCUACCCGGGUAGAGUGAGGGUAUCUGCCGUUGGUGACGUCCUUUUUCCCUGUAAGCUGCUGUGGAGAAGUAAGCUGGUAUAAUCCCAUCCACGAUAUCCAGAGUAAGAGUCAGGUUCAGCUGUAACAGGAGCAGAAUAACAUUCCCAAAUAAUCCCCUUCCAAGAACGAGACAAGGCUACGUUUUGCAGGGUCAAGAAGAUCUGAGGACUGGAACACCCAGCCUGCUUUUAUUGGGAUCAGGUACACACAGGAUACUCCCAGAGGGAGGAUAAAAACACCCAAUCAUAUACCUGGUAACACCCCCACGUCUCCUCCCCUCAGAUAACAUAUAACAUAAUUAAAACGUACAACAUUUUACCCCAGUUCUGGAUGUUCCCCAAAACAGGGGGUACAGCUUUAAAUCCGGGGUCGCUUGAUAGCUCUCAUUCAGGGGACCAACAUGUCCAAAAAUCAGCCCAUUCGGAUGAAUAGUUCGGGAGAUACAGAGUUCCAAAGUUUUGACCGACCGCACAGACCAACUAGCCGAAAAUAGUUCCAUGAGUUUUGGCCUCGCGGUCGGUCUCCGUUCGCCUGGUAAAAAGGUAUGAAAUUCUUGCCAUCCAUUCGAAUCUCGGGGUUCGCCGCAAUCCCCAUAGAUGAUUGAACAUAACUACCGAACGUCCGGUGAUUCGGUAGUUUCCGUGCGAACUUCUGGAAGUAUGGAGGACUCAGCGGUGUUCGCCUAUUUGCGUAUCCGAUUUUAGUUCCACGCGUCGACAGGCAAACACCGCUGUUCGCACGUAAGAUGGCCGCGGCUACGUGUAAAGUCCCGAAAUGGCGGCCACCUAUACUUUACACAGGGAAUUCAUGCGAAUCCAUUCGAAUGGUUGCAAUGCACUAAAUGUGACCAAUUCCUGCUGAUUUUGGUUAGUUCACUGGCCCAGGCAUACAGCAUAGUUCUGUUACACACUUACUCCCCCUUCACUUACUCCCCCCUCCUUCAUUUACACCCCCCUCCUUCAUUUACACCCCCCAUCUUCACUUACUCCCCCCUCCUUCAUUUACACCCCUCCUUCACUUACUCCCCCCUCCUUCACUUACUCCCCCCUCACUUACUUUCCCCCCCUUCACUUACACCCCCCAUCUUCACUUACUCCCNNNNNNNNNNNNNNNNNNNNNNNNNNNNNNNNNNNNNNNNNNNNNNNNNNNNNNNNNNNNNNNNNNNNNNNNNNNNNNNNNNNNNNNNNNNNNNNNNNNNGACAAAAAUGGAAACCAAGUCUAGAAUAAAGGAGUGAGAACCUUUUUGGACCACAAUAAUGGCUGAACCCAAAACCAUGUUCUUCCCUGUUGUAGACCUGUCUCAAAUAAGCGUGUGAUUUCGUAAAACUUCUGCAAAUUAAAAAAAACUAGUCCUUCAAACUUAAAACAGACACGGAUCCCCAAAGGAAAAACACAAUAAUUAGUCAAUCCUAAAUAAACUUCUCUUUUGGAAGUGGAAUAUCUGAAUAGGAAUUGUGAGAUCAACUCUUGACUUCACUCCUCCAUCAUACAAAGCCACAAACCAUGAGAUCAAUGGAAAGUAAUUCCCAAUGAGAAACAAACAUUUUCCCACCCACGCACAUCCUCCUCUGAGCUGGCAGACCUUUUAAUGGUAAACCAUUUCAUAUGGGUUUUAUGAACAUACUGUAUUGGAAUCAAAGAACGUGCCAUAUGCAGGAGCUCCUGCAGUAACAAACCGACUACUUCAGCCAAUUUUCAGUCAAAUUUUAGGCUUGAAGUACAGAAUAACAUCUCAAUUUUCUUCAAUGUUUGAAAUGUGCUAAAGAUGAUGAUCAAGGUAACUAUUUACUGUCCUACAAAUAUCCUGAGCAAAUGACACAGGAGCAGCUAACUGGAGUACUCUUACUUAGAACAAAUAUCCUGAGCAAAUGACACAGGAGCAGCUAACUGGAGUACUCUUACUUAGAAUUUUCUUUUAAUUCUAAAUACUAAUACAAAAACAGUAUUUACAAAGAUGUCUUUUAGAAUAUUAAGUGUUUUACUGUGCUGCUAACACUUUUGCGAAAUAAUAAUAGUUACCAUCUAUGGCAGUGGUAGGAAACCUUCAGCUCUCCCGAUGUUGUGGACUACAACUCUCAGAAUGCUCUUACAGUCAUAAUGCUGCAAAAACAUCAGGGGGGUGCACUUCUUAAUAUCUGGAGUGCCAAAGGUUGCCUACAUCCAUUCUAUGGUGUGAUGUAUCCUGCUUUACUUGCCAUGUAAGUGUUAUCUGUGUGCUGAGAGUCUUGGCUGGCCUGUUGAUGUAUUGAGCAGAGCCAAUCUAGGCAAUCAUUUUUGUGAUUUUGUUGAAUUAAUGAAUGGCUUGGAUUUUUGGUUAUCCAGAAUAACUGCCUUCUGGUGGUGCAUUUUACCAGGUGGUUACUUUGGGAAAUGCAACGGUGAGACUUGGAGAGUGAAUAGAAAAUCACGGCUUCAACUUACUUUAGUCAUACAUAAUCACAUUGCUAUGUUAGAUAUCGGUACACUAGAUCUGUAGACAUACUUUCUGGUAAAUAUUUUAUAUAAAAGCAGAUUGUAGUAGCAAACCUUUACAGGUGAAAGAUAAAUGUUAGGGCUGGCCCUAAUCUGAUAAAGCUUAAUCUGCACAAUGAAUGCAACAAAAUAGAAAAAUAUGUAUGUUUAGGUUUCUUCCGUUUUGAAGUAGGUUCAUGUGGAUUGUUGAGAUAGGUAUGGGAAGUUGGUUACCAUUUUGUAAUUUAUGACUGAGUCUCAUAUCGAAGUUUCAAUUUUUUGUGCCUAUGAGCAUAGAAUUUUUCUGCUCCUCAAUCACUUGUCUAUAAUUUUAAUGUAUCUGAAAAUAAAGGGUCACCCAGAGUAGCGUCUUUGUAAUCAUAAUUAUGGUUCUGCAGAAUGUGCAAAUCUUUGUACUAACUUUUUUACAAAGUUAGGAAACAAUACAUUGAACAUGUCUUACUGAUCAUUUGAUGUUGAUGCUGGUAGCCAGAGAUAUCCAUUACUCCACAGCACUCUAGAUAUACCUACCAAAACUUCAUCAAGUGAGCUACUUGCAAGGAUUUUACUCUUCUCUUGAUAUUUAAAGUAGUGAAAGACUUGUCUGAAACUUGAUCGGGUCUUCACCACCAAAACCUAUAUGUGAGAAGUACAAUUUAGGAUGAAAAAUCAUGGGUAUGAUUUAAUCUUCUGUCUGCUCAUAUUUGAGUUUCAGGAAUGAUAUGAAUUGAUCAACUGUAUAAAGUAUUUAUUCUUGUAAAGAAACUGUGAAACAAACAAAUAUACAUGUAUUUAAGUAUAAUAAAUUCCUAUAAUUCUUUUUAAAAUUUAAAAAGACUUUGUUUGUUAUUAUAUCACUCAUUUUGCUUUGAAAUUUUUUUCUUUGACUCCUUCGGAGGGGGAGGUGGUAGGCAUCUAAAAUAUUAACUGAAGAGUCUAAAAUAUUUCUGUGUUUAAUCAUUAUCCCUGUGUUUCCUAGCCUCUAAUGAGUUUUGUGUAAUUUUGUUAUAGUAUUCCUAUAUAAAUUGAUCGUGUUUCCCAAAGAGAUACUCUAGGUAUUUAUCCCAAUGAAGUGGUGAUUAGACUUGUGCACUACAAAGAAAUUUUGUUUGGCUGAACCACUUUGUCUGAAAAGAAAAUUGAAUUCAGGUAGUCCGAUAUUCGUCCAUGUGGCAGUUUGACGAAAAAGGGAUAUGAUAAUGGUCCAUUCAGAAUACUGCAAUUAACCAGGCUUUUUGUUUUGAUUUGCUUUUGAUUCUAACCUUAUCUGCCAGGGGUAGGCAACCUUUGGCACUCCAGAUGUUGUGGACUACAUCCCCCAUAAUGCUCUUACACCCAUAAUGCUGGCAAAGGAUCAUGGGAGGUGUAGUCCUAAAUAUAUGCAGUGCCGAAGGCUGCCUAUGCCUGUUAUAUGCCAUUCUAACCAUAAAUCAAAUUCUGCCACCCCAACUUUACUUCUAACCCUACAUUGGGACCUUAACAGAGCGAUUACGAGUGAUCACAACCCUCAUCUUUAAAAUGUGACAUGCACUCUCUCACUAAAGUAAGAAAAGUCAUUUGACUUAGAAAAUUUUUCAUUGUCUGUAUUUUGACCUUGACUUGAAAUUCACUUUGUAUUCUCACCUUUAGUGAAUAGUCCUGCCUGUGGUUGAAUUUCAGAGCAGUCACAGAGCCUGGGAACCGAUCAUUAAAUCAUUUAGCAAUACCCAGUGUCCCCAGAUGCUGCUCCAACCAUGUUAAUGGUUUACAACUCACAAAGUUCUUGGAAUGCAACAGAUAGCUAGAGAAUCAUGGGUAGGUUGUAGUUCAGCAACAUCUGGAAUGCUAGAAUUUGAGAUGCCUGUUUUAAAUCAGCAACGAACACCAAACUGCAUCAAUUGCCAAGGCUGAAAGUGGUGGCAACAUACAAUGUACACCAGCCAUCACUUAUGGGUUAUGUAUAGGAUCUUAUUAUUAAUGGAAAUCUCUAAAUAGUAUAUGACUAGAAGGGGAAAGCUAGAGAAGCUGGUAUUAAUGAAGAUAAAUGUGAAAUAAAUUAACUGGACAAUUUAUAUACUUAACUAAAAUGUGAGUUGUUUUUUUAAAGAAUUAAAGUCUAACUGAGCCGGGAAAAGAUUUAUUUAAGAAUUAGAGCAUCACUUUAAAAACUUUUUAUAAAUGCUGGAAUGGAAUACAUUUGUUUAGUCCUUCAUAGACCCCAUCCAGUGGCGUACAUACCAGGGUCGCAGCUGCGACCCGGUAUGUAUGCCACUGUGGCCAGCCACUGCUCCUGGGUGGCCCAGGAGCCGGCCACCUCAGGGCCCCCCGAGGCUGGCCCUGGUAUCACCGGGCAGGCAGGGUGGCGGGCACGCGAGAGAACACUGUCCCCUGAGUGCUUCCUCUUCAGCUCCCUUGCGCACCGCACUGAUACCGGAGCCGGAAGAUGACGUCAUCUUCCGGCGCCGGCAUCCCUACGCGGCAUGCGAGGGAGCUGAACAGGAAGCACUCAGGGGAGAGUGCUCACGCGCCCGCCAGCCUGCCCGCCCGGUGACACCACUGGACCCCAGGGAAUCCCCUCAGCACUCCAAAAGGUAAGGAGGCUGGGGGGAUUACAUUUUUUAGUUUUUGUGUUAGUGUGUGUGUGUUAGUAAUAGAGUGUGUGUGUGUGUGUCUUAAGCACUUACCUUUCUCUAGUGCUGGACUCCCUUGGCACCGGGAUUCUCUCUGCCUCUCAGCUCCGAAUGCGCAUGCAUGGCAAGAGCCACGCGCGCAUUCAAACCGCCCAUAGGAAAGCUUUACUCAAUGCUUUCCUAUGGACGUUCAGCGUCUUCAGCGUCUAUGAUUUUCACAGUGAGAAUCGCAGAAGCUCCUCUAGCGGCUGUCAAGAGGCUGGAUUAACCCUCAGUGAAACAUAGCAGUUUCUCUGAAACUGCUAUGUUUUCAGCUGCAGGGUUAAAACUAGAGGGACCUGGCACCCAGACCACUUCAUUGAGCUGAUGUGAUCUAGGUGUCUGUAGUGGUCCAAGUGUGUGUGUAUCUGCAUGCACUGGCGUACAUACCGCGGUCGCAGCCCUUCGACCAGGUGCCCGCCAGGGGGAGGGAGAAGGGGGGGGGGGCAUGGAUCAGUUUUCGCACCAAGGCCCCAUGGGUUGUGUGUACGCCACUGCCCCCAUCCUAGCAUUUUGAAAUAAAAUGCAGUGAAAACAAAUCCAUUUUAAAACAAUCUCUCAAACAGAGAUCAAGUCAGAUGCAUGCUGCCAAGUUGCGUUUUCGGUGUAUUGUAUAUUGUGGCAAAUGAACGAUUGGAAAAUUCUGGAAUAUAAAUUUGAAUGUCAGUUUGUCUACUAUGGUGUUAACAUUUCAAAUUGGUUGUUAAUAAAUCUUAAAAAAUGUAGUUGGUGAAUAAGCCUAGUAGUGUUUAAGCAACAUCAUAAUUUGCAUCAUUGUUGUUUUAAUUUUGUUUACAUAUAUUUAUUUGCAUUGUCUGUUUCAUGUUCUGCCUACUGUGACCCUUUACACGUAAUUGAUGUCUAAUCCAUUAAACAAAUGAACUAUUUCAAAAACAUUUUUGUAUAGUAUACAUAGCAGGAAAAACCUCAUUAAUUCGACAACUGCAUAAAUUACCUUAGUAACAUUCAUCUAUUCCCUCUCAGUUUCUGAUGCCAGUUCCUACCGCUUUCCACAUUUGGGGAAUCUUUUUGACGUACAAUGUCCGUACUAAUGAACAGCUUAGUUGCCUAGCAACUAGGCUCUCCUUGCGUCAUUCGGAGGACAGUGCAGUCACAGAGUGAGUAAUCGAUGAAAAGAAAUAGCAAACAAGAUCAUUAUAACAAGACCGCACUACAGCCUAUCCUUUCCCACAAAAUAAUUGUUCUGAAAUGAAAAAUGAGAAAAUAGCAUUUAAAGCAGUUAAAUCAGACAAAUCAUAUAUAAGAUACAUAGAAGCAAAUAAAGCACGCAAAAAGGCAAUUAGAUGGAUUAAACUAGAAAAUGAGAAAGUGAUAGCCAAAGAGAGCAAAACCAACCACAAAACAAUUUAAUAAAAACAAAGAGAACGUUACCUGCGCUCUGGCCUAAAUCCCUAUGUACAUUUAAACAAAAUGAAGGCUCUUUAGUUUUAUUCCAAUGGCCACUUGAAUAUAUAAGCUCACCUGCCACGUCAAGGCAAGCCUCAAAAGGUGAGUCCUACACUAGCCAUUAGAUAUGCUGAUAUUAGAUAUAGUAGGCUGAUAAAGAGCCUCCAUUUUGUUUAAAUGUACAUAUUUAGGAUUUAGGCCAGAGCGCAGGUAAUGUUCUUUGUUUUUACUAUGUAUUUUGAGCUGUUGGAUACUAAGCUACUGCUGCUGUAAGUGCGGUGCUUUAUCUUUGUGUUUGUACAAAACAAUUUAAGUACAUAAAUUCAAAAAAAAAAAUAAAAAAAAAAAAUUGUAGGUAUACUGAAGAUGGAGAUGAAGACCAGGAAAAGGUAGACAUUUUUAAAUGACUAUUUUUUCCUCUGUAUAUAGUAACUAGGAACCUAUAGCAAGAGAUAUUCAAAUGAUUGUUGCAAAUAACUUGCAGAAAAAUUGUGAUUGGAUAGCUUAAGACACGGUGUUGCAGCAACUAAAAGAAAGUUAAUGAGCACUUAAGGAGGUACGUGUGGAAAUCUGUAAACCUCUGUUUUUAAUCUUUCAGGAUUCUUUUCAGGAAUUGUACUGAUGGAUUAGAGGAAGGCAGAUGUGGCUCCUAUAUUCAAAAAAGGUUCUAAAUCUUUUCCUGGAGAUUAUAGACCUGUGAGUUUAACUUCACUGGCUGGGAAAGUAUUUGAAGGGUUUUUAAGGUAUAAUUGUCAGGAAUUCAUUGGGAAGAACAUUAUUCGCAGAAAUCAGUAUGGUUUUAUGAAGCAUAGUGUGACAGAUCCAUCUAAGUACUAUCUGCUGGUUCGUCUACUUUGUUAUACAUUCGUGGAAUUACCUGCCCGUACGUCCCUGUUCAUUUAUUUGUUUAUACCGAAUAAAACUACCAAACGGCCGGCCACCCAGAAGAGAAGUGUGCUGCUGGUUAACCUAUUGGCCUCAAUUAGAACAUUGUGGUUGACCGCAGACACCUCUUAAUUGGAACCGUAUGCUGGGUGGUCGUCGUUCGUAUGUCGACCACGAGGCGGCAGCCAUUUUAAACACACGAAUGAACAGCGGUGUUCGACGAUGAACUUAUGGAACUCAAACCGGACACCUUUUCUACCGAACACCGCUGAAACCGCCGACCGCCCUUCUUAUCAUCGGGCAUACGAACGCCGGUCAAUUCAGGACUUUUUAUUGUACGAAUGGACUUAACCCAGAUAGCCAUCCCAUGGAGUCAUUAGUAUACCAAAAGAACAGUGUGGAAGACUUUGACUCCAUGGCGAUUGAAAUGUGUGCAUUGGGUCUGAGCACUAUUCGGUAGUAGUGUGCGCUCAGAUCUAGGCUAUCUGGGGAUACGUUAUACAAAUUAAAUGCAUUCGGUAGUUUUACAUUUAUGGAUUUUUAUGUGUUUUUAUUAUACCAUGUAAAAUGGCGGUUUGCCUCUAUCCCUGGAGAUAAUUGGAUUUCUUCCCAAUUAUCUCCAGGAUAGAGAUGAGGGGUUUACCUGUACACAGGGGAGUGUUUAUACCUGAGCCACUGUGAUUGGCUACUGUACCUCCUUUGUCCCAGUCUUCCAUCUGGUCCCCUAGGGGAGCCUUUGACAAAGGCGCUCGGGUAGCGCCGAAACGUGCGUCAGGACUUAUGCCUUAUUUUAAACCACAGCACUUAAUUUAAGCACUUUAGGGGUUAGAGAGAAAUGAUUGAGACUUUAUGAGAGAUUUAUUUAGAGUGGUGGGUAGUUUCUACAGAUGGACUCCUUUAUUCUAGGAUAGCCUUAGCGUUCUAUGCAGUGGAUGUUUAGUGAAAUCCCUUUUACAGCAUAGGCUAUAUUAGUGUCCUCUAUUAGAAAUCCUGGUUAACAGACAGUUCAGUUCACUUCUUUGAUCCUUUAUGCUUACUAGCUAUAGCAAAUUGAGGGGAUACUAUGUAUCCAUACUUAGCAUUGUAGGCGGACAUCUGGCAACUGUUAUACUCUGUUAUACAGGAUAGUCUCUACCCAAAUCGCUACAUAUCGUUAGGGGAGAGAUUGUAUACCAAGAUCUUUUCUUGCUGUGACACUUUUUAGUAUCACUUUAUCUCUGUCUCUCCCCCUUUACCUUAUUAUCUCAGUUCUCUCUAGUGUGUGUUAGUUUUUAUUAAGUUUUAUUUAUUUUUUGGGGGGAAUUUAUACCCUAUAAUAAAGAGAUUUCUUAUUUCUAUAUUUAUUUUUUUAUGCAAUCACAAUACCCAGAGAACUCUUUCUGUGUUCCUAUGGCGUUCUCUAGCCAGGGACCAUUCUUAGUACCCUAGGGGAGUGUCCACCAGGUGGGAGACCUGCAUAAAUACCGGGCAGGUAGCCCUCAAUAAACCAGAAUCCUGUUCUACCCUCAAGAAGGAGCUUGGUCUCGUGUUUGGGGGGGAUUGCUACUUUGGAAUAUUCUUUUGCCUGUUCCAGGAGAGCAGGAUUUCGGCUGAUUCUCAGUUCAGGGAAUUGAAGCGUUCGUGAGUUGCUAUUCCCGUAAUAAGGUCAACUUCCUAUUCAGUAUUAACCCACGAUACCCGGGUUAUACCAUAACACAUAGGUCAUGUCAAACUAACCUAAUUACAUUCUGUGAAGAAGGAAGUAGAAGUUUAGAUCAGGGUGUUGCAGUGGAUGUGAUCUACUUGUAUUUGGCCAAGGUUUAAUACGGUUCAACACAAUAGAUUAAUGUUCAAACAAAAAUAAAUUGGUCUGCAUGACAAUUCUUGUUCUUGGGUAUACCACUGGCUUAAUGAUGGAGUACAUACAUAAAGUGUCCCUCAGGAUUCUGUUCUGGGAUCACUUCUACUUACCAUAUUUAUAAAUGAUCUUGAAAUAGGCAUUGAAAUUCAAAUGACACAAAACUGUAACCGAAUGCAAUAUGAGCAGGAUAUUCCUUCACUGCAGAGGUAUUUAGAUAUGGGUGACUGGGCACUAAAACAAGAUAUUAAAUUUAAUGUAGAUGAAUGCAAAAUGUUAUUCUUAAUAGACACAAUUGCGGUGCUACAAUAUAUAUUUGAAGAUGUUGUGUUAACAAAUAGACAUGCUAAUUUUACUGUAUUUGGUUUCAGAGUUCAAACAUUCUUGUCCUUAUUUCACACAUGAAAUUUUGACCAUGCCCUCUGUGUUCACCAUGCUAUUCAGAAUGCUUAUAUGUUAUCCUAGCUCUUUGCUUUAUUCAGAACUUAAUCACAGGCCCAGAAGAUCUCUUGCAACUUAAUGGUUGCAACUCUUGCAACUUAAUGGUUGCUCUAUUAAGCCUGCAUUGAUGAUAGAGAUGUGUGUGGAAAAUAUUUCAGAAAAGAUACCCAGGUGUUCUAGAUGCAGGCUCUCCUUCUCCUCCUGCACCUUUGAACCUUAAUCAGGGUCUAAAAUGAAUCCCUCGUGGCCUUCUUUGUACUUUAACCCCUUAAGGACCAAACUUCUGGAAUAAAAGGGAAUCAUGACAUGUCACACAUGUCAUGUGUCCGUAAGGGGUUAAAAGGACCUAUGUAUGAUGUUAGGCGCUAAGAUGCUUGUCUAGUUGUAAAGAUGUGUGUGUGUAUAUAUGUGUAUGUGUGUGUAUGUGUAUGUGUGUGUGUAUGUAUAUGUGUGUGUGUAUGUAUAUGUAUGUGUAUAUAUAUAUAUAUAUAUAUAUAUAUAUAUAUAUACACACAAAAUCAAAAACAGCUUGGCACUCUCCUUCCAAUUAAAUAAGAAAAAGCAAAAAUUGCCUAGGUGCUACCCGCGUUACAAAUAUAUAUUGCACUCACAGGUCUUUUAAAAAACACAACAACUAGUUUAUUAACGACCGUAUACCUGUCUGAAAUAAAGUUGGGGGAAAAAAAAACAGAUGCUUUUUUAGUGCAGGCAUCCCUUUGUUAUAGAAGGAGGUUGGCAAGAAAGUGGGGUGGCGUCCUUACAAGAUGUAGUAUAGACUGUGCCCAGACAUAGCAUUGUUAUGGACAAACUUGGCCCAGAGUACCAGUGUCCUUUAAGGAGCAUGCAGCUCCUUACAUAGGCAUUUAAAUGCCUAUUGCUAGAUCGUAGUGUGAGCAUGUUAAGUCAUUGAUCACAGCAGAACACCCAGGUAUCAAUGGAUUCCGGGGGCUGGACUCUGAAAUGAGAUGUAUGUAGUCAGGGCUGGUUCAAGAUACACAGGCAAAGAUGCAAUUUCCAGCCUCCCUUAAAAAAAAUGCAUCUGUAUUGUAACUCCCACUUUUGAAUUUGUUAUCCCCUUUAGUGUUUCAUAUAUCCUCUUUUGGAUGUCUUGACCCUUUAGUGUAUUUUAUCCACCCUUUAAUGUGUCUUAAACUCACUUGUGUGUCUCCUACAAUCUCCCCUUGGUUAUCUCUUCCUUCUCCUAGCCCCUUUGUAUCACUUACUUCCCACCAGCUUCUUUAUGUGUCUUUCUUACCCUAGCCCCUUUCUGUGCCGCUCCACCCUCCUUCCCCCAAACCCCUUUCUUGGUAUCUUUCUCUCCUUAUUUCAUUUUGUGUGUCUCUUUAUUUCAAAGCCAUACUCAGGGACACAGUCACAAAGAUAUACAGACACAUAGUCAUAAAAGGCACACAAUCAAACACAGUCAUACAAUAUAAACAUACAUGUACACUGUCAUACAGAGACAUAAAGAUGUAGACAUACAUUUAUACAGAGACAUAAAUGCAGUCAUUCAGAGACAAAGAUGCAAGCAUACAGAGACAUACAAACACAGUAACACGAAGACAUACUGGCCUACAGAGACAUGCAUAGAUAUAUAGGCAAUACAGCAACAUACCUACAUAGGCGUACAGUCAUACAGAGACAUACUUACAUAGACAUACAGGCACUCCUAGACAGACAUACAGUGACAUACAUACAUAGGCAUUCAGAGACAGACAUACAGGUAUACACGUGCAGACACACACAGACAUACAGAAGCAUACAGUCACAUUUGCAUACUUCCAUCUGUAUACAUCGCUUAAUAUUGCUAGAUACUCAUCAAAGAUUCAUAUAUAAUAAAUUGACAGCUGCAAUAAAUGAUGUGACUCAGCACCCACUAGGUAUAUCAUCGUAUAGGUAAGGACAGUGGUGUACACACAACCCAUGGGGCCCCGGUGCCCCCACCCACCGCCGGGGGCCGCAACACAUGGCGGCGGGCACCUGGUCGCACCUGUAUGCCAGUGCAUGCAGAUACACAUACACGAAAAGGACCACUACAGACACCCAGAUCACAUCAGCUUAAUGAAGUGGUAUGGGUGCAAGGUCCCUCUAGUUUUAACCCUGUAGCUGAAAACAUAGCAGUUUCAGAGAAACUGCUGUGUUUUACUGGGGGUUAAUCCAGCCUCUAGUGGCUGUCUCAUUGACAGCUGCUAGAAGAACUUCCGUGAUUCUCACUGUGAAAAUCACAGUGCGAAGACGCUGAACGUCCAUAGGAAAACAUUGAGUAAUGCUUGAAUAAUGCUUUCCUAUGGGCGGUUUGAAUGCGGUGCGGCUCUUGCUGCGCAUGUGCAUUCGGAGCUGAGAGGCAGAUCAGGGAGGAGGGAUCCCCAGCGCUAAGGGAGUCCGGCGCUGGAGAAAGGCAAGUGCUGAAGACACACACACACACUCUCACGAACAGACGCAUACACACUAGCUAACAGAGACACACAUUUACUGACAGACACACACUCAGUGACAGACAUAUACACACUCACUGACAGACAGACACAUACACACUCACAAAACACACACUCACUAACAGACACCAAACAGACGCACUCAAACUAACACAUUCAGUAACACACUCACUGACACACACGUUUUUUUUUUUUUAAAUUGAAUACCCCAGCCUCCUUACCUUUGGGAGAGCUGAGGGGGUUCCCUGGGGUCCAGUGGUGUUGCUGGGCGGCCGGUCACCGGGCAGGCGUGCGAGGGAGCACUCUCCCCUGAGUACUCCCUCUCGCGCCCCACGUACUGAUGCCGGAGCCGGAAUAUGAAGUCAUCUUCCGGCUCCGGCAUCAGUGCAGAGCGAGGGAGCUAGGCAGAGAGAGCUCAGGGGAGAGUGCUCCCUCGCGCGCGCGCCAGUCCGGUGAUACCAGGGCCAGCCACAUUGGGUACAUAACGGGUAUGUACGCCACUGGGUAAGGACAGUCAGCCAACUCCCAUACAAGUAUUAUGCAUGUAUACUUGUAAAAUCUGCUUGAGAAGGCAAUGUAGUGGUGCCAGACUUGGGUACUCCAGCAGCCCCAGGCCUACCUAAGAGCUGACAACUUUUGCCCAUGGACUAUGAGACUCACUGAGACCAAGUCCUUCUAAUUCAGGAGACCGCAUAAGGCCCUAUAGCAUUGUUGGCUAAGUCUCCAUCAUUGGUAUUCAAUGGUCUUCAGCUAAUGUGAGUGGUGCACUGAGGGGUCAAACCAUGAAUGGAUCUCUGCUCAGGUGGGCAAAUGGUAGAAGAAAUGGUAGCUUUGACAUCUGAUUUGUACCUUCGAUCUCCAUCUGCAGGCAGAGAUUCUGGUGCAGCCAAACUUGAGAAUUCCUUCAGCCUCGCCCAGAAGAGCUCAAAGAUAGCAUCCAACUUAGCCAUGGAUAGAAGAUGAAAGCCAGUUGAGUUGGUUUAUUGUGGGUUCAAACACUGUGUUGCCUGAACAUGUGUGCCAACCAUCUUGCUUAGCUUGGCCUUGCACUAGUGUCUAGUGAAGUGAGUAGCUUCACUAUGUCCAACAAGGUCUGGGAUAACCCUCACCGGUCCCGGUCCCGGUCCCGGUUCCAGUCCCGGUCCAAAGGGGGGACGGGGGGAGAGUGUGACCUGGACAGUAGCUGCUGCUCAUUCAAGGCAGGAGGUCAGACGUGUUUCCCACCCAAGAGCAAAUGGCAGGCCGCAGAAAGGGCUGGGUUCCUCAAAGCACCAAUUAAAGCUGGUAAAGUCGAUCCAGGAGUUGCCGAAGCUCACUCCUUAUAGCAUGGAACAAUUUCAGCUUCUAGAUUACAGAGUUUCUCAAUUUGUGGGUUUAAAGCUCAAACUAAGUCAUGGAGCUCCCUCAACCUCUGUCCUGCUAACUUGGUAGUCAGGCCUGUCGCCUUUAUUUUUUAAAACUAUUUUCCCGCUUAAAGUUUAUAUGAUCAGUAGGCAGAUUUUGUGAAAUUCUGCUUAUCCCUUAUUUCACUGCAAAAAGCAGACAAAAGGAAAUCUCCAAAUAUGCCUACAUAUGUGCCAGUUUCAUGAAAUGAUCCGUAUUUUAUAAAUAUCAGAUUUCCAUAAUUUUAAUUUGUAUGGUAUAUGAACCAUUUUCUACAAUUUUUUAAAGUAGACACCAAUCUGCACUGAACCAGAUGAACACACCUUAACACAAAUUAACACUUGAAUUGCUUUUAUUAAAUUUCCAAAUUGAAAUUAAAAAAACAAAGCAUGCAUGUGUUUUCACAUAUAGUAUUAUAAUUUGAUCACUAGGUGGCAGAUGUUGAUAAAGAGUUUCUUUGGUUGCCCAGAAAAAUCAUAUAGAUAAUAAAAGAGCUGUGAGUGCAUUACUAGACUAAAUAUGAAUUGGCUGCAAAUAUUCUGUCUCUAUGAGUUAGAAUUUUAUCACAUGACAGGAGGCUUCGUAUUUUGCAUAAUCUUUCUUUACUAACUCCAUAGCAGCAAAGAAAAGAGUGACAAAACUGAGAACCAAUCACAAUGCAGUAUAGAGUAUAAGAGGCGUGACAUAUGACAUAAUUUCCUCUUGCUUUGCUGCUCCAUCACAAGCUAAGUACAAAAUAUUUAGUCUCUCUGUCCUUCAUUAUUUAGCCUAUAUAUCAUAUAUAUUAUCAUUAUUUUCAUAGCUGUGACAUUGUACAAAUAUACUAUAUUCAUUCCUAUUUAUUUAUCUAUACUGUUGCCCUCCAUUUCGGGGGGCUAACCCCUCUCCUCUGGGGUCUUUUCUCCUCAGGGACCUUUCCCCUGUUUGGUUCCCCCUUUUUUGGCUCCUGAGGUUUGCCACUAGCUUCCCAAGUGGAUUUUUUCAGCUCCCCGCCAUCUAUAUCCACCCUCCCCGGUACCAUACCUAUUUCCGCGGGUUCCCUCUCCCCCUCCUCCUUCUGUCACCCUUUCACCUCACGUAUGGCACUAAAAGGUUUGCCGUGUGUUCGCGAAAGGACGUUGUUUUUUCUACCGAAUGCUUGUCGUUCGGCAGUUUUACACGAUCGCUUUUUAGGCGCUCGCGACCAGCGCACGUUUGGCUGUUUGCACUCCCGGCCCUGCCUGGCAUUCGUACAACUCCUAGUUUUGCCUUCCAAACUAGGGGAGGUACUAUCCUCCCCAUACUAAUGGCUGUUAGCCCGGCGGCCAUCUUAAAGUAAUAUUGCUGUCACAAGGGCAUAGAGCAUGGUUUUAAAGGAGCACAGGACAAACUGCUAGACGCCAAUGGGCCAUUAGCAAGAAUUAUGGACAUGGCAGAUGACGCCUAUGAGAGGGCUGAUGAUUUUACACCAGAUACGGUGCAUGAGUGAGCACGAGAUACCCGAGAAUGGGCACAGAGGUGCUUCUGUUUCCUAGGGAACACCAUGUAGCCCUCUCUUCGGAGAGGCGCCGAGCAGCACUUUACCGUAUAGACGACAAACUUGUGGAACUGGGGGAUAAAGAAUUAGGCCCCUUGGCACAGGGUAAAUUAUUCGGAGAGGCCUUCCUUAAAGAGUUGAAUAAGAGGGUCAAUAUAUUUACGUCCCUUAACAAGGCACAAACCUCUAUGCGGAAAGUCUUCCGCGGCUCUAACACCCGAAGUGUUUUUGGUAGGGCUGACCGGCAGAGGGGCCAUGCCGCCAGCCGCUUCUGGCCAUCCGGCCCCCACACAACAAGGACUCAACCGUUCUACCCAGACUCGUCUACCCGACAUAGAUUCCACCAAUUUAGGGGAUCAGAUAGUGGCCGAGGACGCUCUCAGGCAAGAUUUUCCAACGAUAAGUCAACAUUCUACCCUACCUCUAACCUCCUGUCAUAUCACAGGUCGUGUUUCUCUUUUUUUCCAGAACUGGGCAGACCUGUCUUCAGACACGUGGAUCCUCCAAACAGUGAGGGGCUAUCAAAUAGAGUUCGAGAUGACCCCGCUCCAAAAGGGGCACCCACGUCAGAUCCAGACUACACGGGCCGACGCCCGUCUAAUAGACUCGAAACUACGAGAACUGCACUCCAAGGGUGCCAUCCAGCCAGCUCUGGACUCAACUGGCUUCCACAGCAGUAUCUUCCUGGUCAGGAAGAAAACCGGCGAAUUGCGCCCCGUUAUCAACCUCACGUGCUAUACCGACAUUUCAAAAUGGAAGGUAUUCACCUGCUCCGGGACCUGCUUCGAAGUAACGACUGGUUUACCCGUCUGGACCUCAAAGAUGCAUACCUUACCAUUCCGGUACACAAAAGCAGCCGUCCCUACCUCAGUUUCUUCUGGCACGGGACACCCUGGCAAUUCACCUGCCUCCCAUUUGGCCUUAGUUUGGCUCUGUGGUGCUUCACCAAAAUGAUGAAACCAGUAGUGGCGAAACUCAGAGUUCACGGCAUAAAAUGCAUCAUUUACCUCGACGACAUCUUCGACAAGGAUGCAGGGACUCUGAGGAGACACACAAACUACACAGUACACCUACUCAAGUCUCUAGGUUUCAUUAUCAACCGCCCCAAGUCCGCAAUGACCCCGGCUCAAUCAAUGCAAUUCCUCGGACUCGUAAUAGACUCCACAUCAUGCACUCUUCAUCUCCCGGCCACAAAAAUGACAGCCAUUCGCAGGGAAAUCCAGAAAGUCCAUCGACGGGCAUCCAUACCCCUGUGACUACUGGCACGGAUUGUAGGCCUUCUCUCCUCAUCCAUACAGGCCAUUUUUCCCAGACCCCUGCACUACAGGGCCAUGCAAUGCCUCAAGGCCAAAACAGUUUGCAAAAAACCUACAUACGACCAACCGGUUCCUAUGUCGGACGAGGUUCUGGAGGAACUACACUGGUGGCUAAACUGCAUGCAGGCCUGGAACGGCAGGGCCAUAUUCGGAAACCAGCCAGACUUCGUGCUGGAAUCAGAUGCCAGCCGUUCAGGCUGGGGAGCAACGGACGGGACCUCCUCCAUGGGAGGAGUAUAGACUUCACAGGAGCUCUCGAUGCAUACCAAUUGCCUAGAACUCUUGGCCGGAUCCUUCGUCAUUUGCAGCCUGGUGAAGGAACGAUCCAACUGCUGCAUUCUGCUCCGGAUGGACAACGUCUCUGCGGUAAGAUACAUCAACCACCUUGGAGGCACACGUUCCCAGGCACUGGUGGAACUCACAAAAGAGAUCAGGGAUUACUGCCUACCACGCAACAUCACGUUGCUGGCAGAACAUCUACCAGGAGAAUCCAAUAUGACAGCGGACUGGUGUUCACGUCACUGGUGGGAUGCCAGCGAUUGGCAACUAGACCCUCAUAUUUUCACAAUACUGGAUGCACAGAGGGGUACUUUCUCCCUAGAUCUAUUUGCGUCCCACAACAACCGACAGACGAAGGAUUUCUUCAGCUGGCUCUCAGACCCGCAGAGCCCAGCAAUGGAAGCUUUUCUACAACAAUGGCCACGAUAUGGAGCUUACGCAUUCCCACCUUUCACAAUGAUAACGAGGGUCCUUCACCGGAUUUGCAUGCAGAGAGUGAGGAUAACCCUCAUUACGCCACUUUGGCAGAGCCAGCCAUGGUUCCCAGACCUUCUGGGACUGUCAAUCAGGGACCCCCUCCUCCUACCAGAUGCUCCGACCAUCCUCAGGAACCCGUUGGGACUACCUCACCCGCUGGUCAUGGAGGAAUGACUUCCCCUGGUGGCCUGGACUCUUUCCUGGGUUCCUGGCGAACCGAGGACUUAUUGCAGGAAACUAAGGACCUCCUAUGUGACUCAUGGGCACCAGAAACGAGGAGGUGCUACUUAUCGGCAUGGCACUCCUGGACAAGUUGGUGUGUGGGACGGGACCUCUAACCCUUUACUGGACCUAUUCCCUCCAUCAUGAAUUUCCUAACCUCUCUGUUCACAGCCAGAAAGUCAUAUCGGUCCAUCAACGUAGUAGGUUCAACCAUCUCAGCGCCCCAUACUCCUGCCCAAGGGAUACCUGUUGGUCAGGAUCAGCUCAUCUGCAGACUCCUCCGCGGCAUGCGCCUUCGGCACCCCCCGGAACCCAAACCUCUCAAGACUUUGGGACGUUGGCCUUGUAUUACACUUCUUACGGGACUGGCCUCCUAACAAAGAUUUGUCACUCCGCCAACUUACCGCGAAAUUCACCUUAUUGCUCUGUCUGGUUUCAUUUCGACAGGUAUCCGACGUAUGUACCUUCGAUGCCGACGCAUUUACCUUUUGCCCGGCGGGUGUUACCUUUCAGGUCCCACGACGCACUAAGUCCAACUCUCCCUCGGUCUUCUACCCAUUUUUUCCUUCAGACCCUCAGCUCUGCGUGGUCUCUACUCUCAGUCAAUACGUGGAAGCAAUCUUCCACUCGUCAACUUCUCAUCUCUUAUGUCCGCCCUUACGGUCCAGUUUCGGCUACUACACUGGCCAGAUGGGUUAGAUGGCUACUGUCCCUUGCCGGUAUUGACCAAACUUUUGGGGCACUGUUAAGACACGAACCGCCAGGUAGAUGAAGCCACCGUUUAGUAAAUAAUCCCCUUAUCCAGAAAUGCAGUUUAAAUCCAGCCGACCGCCAAACUCCCGAAUGAAGUCCACGAACACGGCAACUCCCGAUCAGCAAAACAGUUGAAUGCCUUCCACAGCUAAAAAUAACGAAAGCACUGUCCCAGUAAUAAUUCCCCCACAAACGAGACUAAGCUCCGUCUUGAGGGUCAAAUAAGAUCUGUUUAAUGGGGGCUACCUGCCCGGUAUUUAUGCAGGUCUCCACAAGGUACGGAUUGUAGGCCUUCUCUCCUCAUCCAUACAGGCCAUUUUUCCCAGACCCCUGCACUACAGGGCCAUGCAAUGCCUCAAGGCCAAAACAGUUUGCAAAAAACCUACAUACGACCAACCGGUUCCUAUGUCGGACGAGGUUCGGGAGGAACUACACUGGUGGCUAAACUGCAUGCAGGCCUGGAACGGCAGGGCCAUAUUCGGAAACCAGCCAGACUUCGUGCUGGAAUCAGAUGCCAGCCGUUCAGGCUGGGGAGCAACGGACGGGACCUCCUCCAUGGGAGGAGUAUAGACUUCACAGGAGCUCUCGAUGCAUAUCAAUUGCCUAGAACUCUUGGCCGGAUCCUUCGUCAUUUGCAGCCUGGCGAAGGAACGAUCCAACUGCUGCAUUCUGCUCCGGAUGGACAACGUCUCUGCGGUAAGAUACAUCAACCACCUUGGAGGCACACGUUCCCAGGCACUGGUGGAACUCACAAAAGAGAUCAGGGAUUACUGCCUACCACGCAACAUCACGUUGCUGGCAGAACAUCUACCAGGAGAAUCCAAUAUGACAGCGGACUGGUGUUCACAUCACUGGUGGGAUGCCAGCGAUUGGCAACUAGACCCUCAUAUUUUCACAAUACUGGAUGCACAGAGGGGUACUUUCUCCCUAGAUCUAUUUGCAUCCCACAACAACCGACAGACGAAGGAUUUCUUCAGAUGGCUCUCAGACCCGCAGAGCCCAGCAAUGGAAGCUUUUCUACAACAAUGGCCACGAUAUGGAGCUUACGCAUUCCCACCUUUCACAAUGAUAACGAGGGUACUUCACCGGAUUUGCAUGCAGAGAGUGAGGAUAACCCUCAUUAUGCCACUUUGGAAGAGCCAGCCAUGGUUCCCAGACAUUCUGGGACUGUCAAUCAGGGACCCCCUCCUCCUACCAGAUGCUCCGACCAUCCUCAGGAACCCGUUGGGACUACCUCACCCGCUGGUCAUGGAGGAAUGACUUCCCCUGGUGGCCUGGACUCUUUCCUGGGUUCCUGGUGAACCGAGGACUUAUUGCAGGAAACUAAGGACCUCCUAUGUGACUCAUGGGCACCAGAAACGAGGAGGUGCUACUUAUCGGCAUGGCACUCCUGGACAAGUUGGUGUGUGGGACGGGACCUCUAACCCUUUACUGCACCUAUUCCCUCCAUCAUGAAUUUCCUAACCUCUCUGUUCACAGCCAGAAAGUCAUAUUGGUCCAUCAACGUAGUACGUUCAACCAUCUCAGCGCCCCCUACUCCUGCCCAAGGGAUACCUGUUGGUCAGGAUCAGCUCAUCUGCAGACUCCUCCGCGGCAUGCGCCUUUGGCGCCCCCGGAACCCAAAUACUCAAGACUUUGGGACGUUGGCCUUGUAUUACACUUCUUACGGGACUGGCCUCCUAACAAAGAUUUGUCACUCCGCCAACUUACCGCGAAAUUCACCUUCUUGCUCUGUCUGGUUUCAUUUCGACAGGUAUCCGACGUAUGUACCUUCGAUGCCGACGCAUUUACCUUUUGCCCAGCGGGUGUUACCUUUCAGGUCCCACGACGCACUAAGUCCAACUCUCCCUCGGUCUUCUACCCAUUUUUUCCUUCAGACCCUCAGCUCUGCGUGGUCUCUACUCUCAGUCAAUACGUGGAAGCAAUCUUCCACUCGUCAACUUCUCAUCUCUUAUGUCCGCCCUUACGGUCCAGUUUCGGCUACUACACUGGCCAGAUGGGUUAGAUGGCUACUGUCCCUUGCCGGUAUUGACCAAACUUUUGGGGCACUGUUAAGACACGAACCGCCAGGUAGAUGAAGCCGCCGUUUAGUAAAUAAUCCCCUUCAGAAAUGCAGUUUAAAUCCAGCCGACCGCCAAACUCCCAAACGAAGUCCACGAACACGGCAACUCCCAAUCAGCAAAACAGUCGAACGCCUUCCAUAGCUAAAAAUAACGAAAGCGCUGUCCCAGUAAUAAUUCCCCCACAAACGAGACUAAGCUCCGUCUUGAGGGUCAAAUAAGAUCUGUUUAAUGGGGGCUACCUGCCCGGUAUUUAUGCAGGUCUCCACAAGGUGGACACUUCCCGAGGGGACCUUGUGGAAGACUGUACAAUAUAUUAGACAGUAGCCAAUUGCAGUGGCUUCAAUAUAAGCCCUUCCCAUCUUACCCACAAAUCCGUCUUCUCUACCCCGGAGAUAACUAGGAAGAAACCUAAUUAUCUCCCAAGGUAGAGACAAUCGCCAUUUUAAAUUACAGUAAUAAAAAUACAUUAAAAUACAUAACUGAAGAAAUACCGAAUGAAUAUAGGUCGUGUAACGCAUCCCCAGACAGCCUGGAUUCUGAGUGCACAUUUUCACCGAAUAGCGCUCAGAUCCGAUGUAUCUAGUCGAAUCGCCAUGGAGUCAAAGUCUUGCACCAGUCCUUCGGUAUACGAAUGACUCCAUGGGACGGCUGUCGGGGUAAAAGUCCAUACGAAUGCAAUAAAAACUCCCGAACGACCGACGUUCGCAUGCCUUGUCGAAAUAGAAGGUGGGCAUCAGCUUCCAGCGGUGUUCGGUAGUUUAAGUGUCCGUUUUUAGUUCCAUACAGUUUGUACCUAACACCGCUAUGCGUUCGUGUGUCCCAAAAUGGCCGCUGCCUCGUGGUCGACAUGCGAACGACGACCACCCGUACGAAUGGAAUGGAGAGGUGUCUGCGGUUAACCACAACGUUCUAAUUGGGGCCAAGAGGUUAACCAGCAGCACACUCCUCUCCUGGGUGGUCGUUCGUUCGGUAGUUUCAAUCGGUAGUUUGCAAAUUACACGAACGGGGGUAUACGAACAGGGAAUCCAGCGAACAAAGGGAAACAGACGAACCAGCAAUACAGAUGUCACAGGCACAUUCUGUUCGCGGGGCCGCGGCCUCUUCCGCUUAUGCGGCAGGUGCCUCCCUUUCAGACAUCUUAGGAGCGGUGGACUGGACCAGAGAAUCUACCUUUAGAACAUUCUACUUCCGUCCUCUUGAUAUUCCUGCUUUUUCUCUGCUUUCCCAGCAUUGAAAUUGCAAAGUACGAAGCCUCCUGUCAUGUGAUAAAAUUGAAGCUUACGUUAGCUUUAGUGUACCGAUGAUCUUAAUUUUAAUAAUGACAGGAGGCGAGUAUUUUCCCUCCCUACUCUCUUUCGUUCUUCCCUCCCUCUGUUUUUACAUAUUUUUUACAUAUUUACAACACUUUGUUUCUUCUAAUAUUGCAUUCAUGCCGACUUAUGGUCACUCAACACUUGAUACAUAUACUCUACAUUGGUGGGAUGUUUUAGUUAGCACCGUUAGACGAGAGGACUUUAUUGGUUGUCAUUAUAUUGGUUGUUUUUAAUUUAAUCGUAAGGGAUAAACAUUCAAUGUUUUACACAACCACUUUUGGAAUCUAAUACCUUUUAUAUUCUCUUUUCAGUUUAACCAGAAACCUCAAGGGUCUAAAGAUUCCAUUCAAGGUUUCAUCAUCUUCACGUCAUGGAAGAUCAUCACUUGAAAUCAAGACGUGUUCGCUUGGAGCCUACCUGUUUCACGUUCAAGUUAUUCAUGUUGUUUCUACCACUAUCUUACUAUGGAAUUUUACUAGUUGUUCUAUUAUUAUCCUGCAUUGUGAUCUUGUGAUGUCCCAUUCUUUAAGAGGAAAUUAUGUCAUAUGUCACGCCUCUUAUACUCUUUACUGCAUUGUGAUUGGUUCUCAAUUUUGUCACUCUUUUCUUUGCUGCUAUGGAGUUAGUAAAGAAAGAUUAUGCAAAAUACUCGCCUCCUGUCAUUAAAAAUUACAAUUUAAAAUUAAGAUUAUCGGUACACUAAAGCUAACAUAAUCUUCAAUUUUUUAUUAUCAUUAUUUUAAUAUUAUUAUUUAUAAUAUUAUUAUUAUUACAAAAAUUUAAUCUGUAGGUUUUACAUGUAUUAGAUGAUUUUCAAGUUUGUUUUCAAGGUUAUGAGGACAGGUUAAUAGAUGUUCUGUGCAACCAUUAUCUUUCUUCUUCUGGAAGCGAAGUGAGUUCUUUAAAGGAACCUUAUACCACCUGGUAAAGUAGAACUGACUCUCAAUUUACUAUCAAGCAGAUGAAAUCCUCUCUUACACCUCAUUCCUGUGCUAUUAGAAGGUGCUCAGCCAUCCUGUGGACAGUGCAAAGAGGUGUAUUCAUAUAAUGGGAACAAGGGAGCUGCUAAUUUUUUUUUGCAAAUUGUUUAUUUUUUUAUACUUUUUUUUCAUAAUAAAGAGAGUCAAUAGACAUAUAACAACACAAAAUAUAUUCGAUUGAUAUGAGAGACUUUUGAUAUGAGAUAUUGAUAUGAGAGAUAUUAUUAUUUUAAACAGUUUGUUUCAGUUUUUUUUGUUUGGAUUUUUAUUUGGCUUUUCUUUUUUGGGGGCCUAAAAAAGAUGGUAUGUGUGAAUAAAGUUUCCUUAACAGGCAAGGCACAUUUAUUAAAGAAAUAAAAAUGAAAAAUGUGUCAAUCUCCCAGACUAAUUAGAGGCUUAGAUACUGUAAGGCAUCAUAUAUCAAUAUAAUUGUAUGAUGUAACAUUCUAUGUUGUCACCAGGUGGCACUAUUACAUCAUAUUAUGCUUGACCAUACUUGAUUCAUCACUGUGGGUUGUAGGUGAUUCUUUAAAAAUUACAAUAUUAGAAAGAGCACUCCAAAUCACAUAAAAAGUAAAUACAAACAAAUGUGUAAUAUUUAAAUUCAAAUAAACAGACAGGCUGAUAAACAGACUGAUACACAGUCCGAAAGAUAUUUUGCAUGUUGUAUAUAUUUAUUUAAAAAAACAGGUUAUACAGUUAUGUGAUAACAUACUGCACAAUGAAUUUUAGAAAUAAGUUUAGAAUUAUUCAGAUAAACCGUAGUAAAGUGAAGCAUAAAAAGGAAGGUUUGGUUUAUAUCUGUGAAAUGUUCCACUAGAGCUAGGGAAGUCCUCCUUGCACUGCUUUCCAAUACCUGCUCUCCUACCAGUGAUCUCAUCUGGCUGAAAGUAAUUUAUCUGUACUAUUAAUCACGUAUCUGACAUCAUUUUGUGCAGUUCUAUUUUUGUUUAUAAAGAGCCACAUGAAUUCCUUAGCUUUCUCCUAUAAAUUACAUUGACAACAUAUUUGGGAAGAAAUCAGGGGACUUUUCUGAUAAAGUAAUCUGGGAGAGGAUGUAUUAAAAGCGGCAUUGUCAUGCUGAACUUACUUUUCCCCAAGCGAUUCCUCUUCUCUCCCUCUGUCAGGAUCUGUUCUUCAUGUCUGCUCUAGUUUUCUUUAAAACAUAAGACAAAGUAGGGCUUGCCUAUUAUACUGCCGGGUGCAAGGCCCCUCCAGUCAGUCUGCCCGGACACAGCUCCCCCACCACCCCUGCACUUUCGCAGCCCCCCACCACCCCCUACCCUGUCACAGCCUCCCACCACUCCCUAUCCUGUCACAGCCCCCCUACCACCCUCUGCCCUGACACAGCCCCCUACCAGACUCUGCCCUGUCACACUCCUCCUACCACGAACUGUCACAACUCCCCUACCAUCCCCUGCCCUGUCACAACCCCUCAACCAGCCUCUGCCCUGUCACCGCCCCUUACCAACUUCUGCCCUGUCACAACCUCCCCUACCACACCCUGCCCUGUCACAACCCCCCUACUACCUUCCGCUCUUUAACAGCCCCCCUACUGCCCCCUGGCCUGUCACAGCUCCCCCACCCCCUCCAUUUCCUGUCACAUCUCACCCCCUGCCUUGUAACAGUUUCCCUACCAACCCCUGCCCUGUAACAGCUUCCCUACCACCCCCUGCCCUGUCACAGCCCCCCUACCACCGCCUGCCCUGUCACAACCACCCUACCACCCCCUACCCUCUCACUGCCCCCAACACAGUCACAGUUAAACCAAUGAGUGGUGGGUGGGGGCCCUAAAUGAAAAUGGGGGGACCCUAUUGUCCUCCCCCAGCCCCCACCCAUGAGCGACAGGUGGGGGCCCUAAAGGAAAAUGGGCGGAAUCCUAUUGUCCCCCCGGCCCCCAUCCAUGAGCGGCGGAUGGGGGCCCUAAAUGAAAAUGGGGGGUUGAUCUAUUGUCCUCCCCCCAGCCCCCAACCAUGAGCGGCAGGUGGGGGCUCUUCAUGAAAAUGGGGAGGGAUCUAUUGUCCUCCCCCCGUUCCCCACCCAUGAGCGGCGGGUGGGGGCCCUUAAUGACUAUGGGGGGACCUAUUGUCUUGACCCACCCAUCCCUCAUCCAUGUAGCUACAUCAGAAAGACAAAUAAAUGAAUAGAAAUUUUCAAACGAAUGAACAAAGGAGGGAGCUACCAUGAAAGGGGCAGUCAGUAGAGAGGGUAGUGUGAGAGGACUUUAUCUAAACUCACUCACGGUGCGCAGCUGCGAGCCAGCAUGCAAAUUAAGCGUCAAAAUGCUGACUCACGGCGUCACCUGCCCGCAACCCGGACUAAGACGUUUGCAAAAAAUCCUAAUCCAACUCGCAGUGCCCAGCCACGAGCCAGAGACUAAACAGAGAGCCAGAGGCUUGCAGCAAGAUAGUAAAAUGGCUGUGGUAAUUUUAUCAAAAAUGGCCGCCCGGAUUUCGCGCAACGGCACGGGAUCCAAGAUGGCCACAAAAGAACAGGCAGGGCUUGACGGAGGUGUUCUACAUGGGCCCAAAAAGCCUGGGAAACUUGGAGCAGCACAAAGUCUGCCGAGGUCCCAGGAGCAAUCAAAACCAAAUAGAAAAUACACAACAGUACCAAUAAAGAAGAAAUAUAAGCAAGGAGGAGAUACAGAAAAGUAUAAAUCUAAUUAAGUACAAGGAAGGGAAAACACUAAUUCAAAUAUUGUAUAAGGAAAAAAAUAAAGAAAAUGCAAUAAAGAGAUGAAGUAAACAGUGCAGAAAGUGCCACUAUGAGAUAUAAAAUGAUACUAAUACAAUGAAAAAAUAAGUAAUACACCACAGUAACCCACAAAUGUAGGAGACAGUGUACCUCUGACCUGUACUGAUGCGGAGCAGCAAAGAAAGAGGAGUGGCAGAGUCAUUAUAAUAGUGCUGAUACAGAUUUGUCAAACUUAGCCUACCUCUAUUUCAAGGAUUGGUAAGGGUUUUGUAAAUUGGAAUUUUAUAUUGGCCCAAAUAAAUUGUGAAGGCAGCAUGCGCAAGCCAAACAAAGCAAUUGGAUAGGGAUUGGUGUCACAGUACAGCCCAAGCCCUGCAGACAGCAAGGUGUGGCCUCCCCUUUGAGAGACCUGGCUGGGUUUGAACUCACAGCUCUAGCAUCCCAGUCAGGUUCUCUGCAGUGCUGUCCACCAGGGGGCUUCAGUUUCUGUUUUUUCAGUUUCUGUUUUUUCAGUUUCUGUUUGCAUUUUUCUGCUUCCUGACCACCUUGCCCUGGAUUAAGCAGCACUGAUCCACCUACAGCCCUUUUCCAAUUAGGGUCAACUGCACCUAAUUAGCAGGCUGUAAAAGCCAGCCCUGCCUGAGACCUAGCAUCUGGUCAUUUUGCCUGUUUGUUUUUUCCUGCCGUAGCUUUGCUUUGCUACUGACUGAUUUCCUGGACUCUGGCCUCUGCCUGAUUUACUGACUAUGUUACUCCGCUGCCAGCCCUGACUUCUGCUUCUUGUCUAACCAUGCCUUUGAAUUUUCCCUUAAUCUGUACUGUGCUUCUGGUUAUUGCCUCCUCCCUGUGCCAUCUCCUGCAACUGGGCUCCAACUCCUGUUAAACUGUUACUAAUGUCCCCAGGUGACUGUUACAAUUGGCUAUUUUUACAAAAUGUUAAGAAAAUGAGGAAGCACAUAAAUUUUUAAAUUGUGUAUUUUACCCAGUAAGUUAAAAUGAAGAAAAUUCAACUUUUUCAAACCUGCAUGAUAGCUGCGAGAAGAAGCAGAAAGUUUAACCCAAUUUAUCUUUAUUUUUGUAAUCUCCAUUUGAUUGGCAUGUACACCGUGAAGAUUAUUCAUUAUUGUUUUUUUUUAAAUUUCUUUUAUAUGUAUAGUAUUAAGUGGUUUGCUAUUUUUAAUUAAGUGAUAUAUCAAUGUGUAUAUUUAUUCUAUGUGCUACUAGAUUGUCACUCUUGGUUGUUUUCUAUGGCAUGGUUAGCCAUUUACAUUUAAGAUAAUUUGAAAGCUGAAGCACUAAAAUAAGCAUGGAUACAAUUCUUGUUGGUGUAUGAGUACCAUUCAUGUUAAAUUGAGACAGAGUCCACAGGAAGCAUUGGGUUCAGUAACAGGCUUUCUGCACAAUCUUUGUGCUUGUUGAUUCAAAGCUGAAGAGGAAUGCAAACCCUGUUUUUAGAGGCAAAGUAUUAUUUAUUUAUUUUUUUUGGCCAAGGAUCAUAAUAGCAAUUUGCUGGCUAUUGCAUUUACAUUCCUGCUGAUGCAUAUAUAAUGCCUUUGUGUAGUAUCAUAGAAUGUAAUUCAAUAGCAAUCUCCACCUUCCCCUCCCUUUAAUAAUUCCAGCUGUUACAGAUUUUUUUUUAUUGUUGUUGGGGAAAAAGUCAUUGCAAAGGUAUGAACAGAUUUGGUAGAACUUACAUUUGUUAUAUAAUAUAGCUGGAAGUGAUACACUGGAACCAGAUGCAUGGUGUCUUGCCCAGACAAGAAUUAUCAUAUAAGCAGUAUAACCAGGGCUGCCAUCAGAAAUUUUGGGGCCCCUGACACAGCUCAAGGUCUGGGCCCCCCGGUGCCUGCACCCGAGUCCGCCCAAAGUGCUGCCCCCCCCCCCCAACCCGCCCACAGGGAUGCAGUGUCUGCAGGGCCGGUUCAAGUAUUUUUGCCGCCCUAGGCAAAAGUAAAGUUUGCCGCCCCCCAUGUGACAUCACAAUGCCCCACCCAUAUGAUCUGCCAUGUUAACUAACACCAGUGCUGCAGUGCCGCCGUGUUUACAUUAAAAUGCCUGCAGGGACAGGCUAGACACCAGAACCACUACAUUAAGCUGCAGUGGUUCUGGGGACUAUAGUAUCCCUUUAAUGUGAGGUAAAUUAGAGAUUAGUGCCACGAAUAAUAUACUAGAUUGCCUACUUACAACCAGAUGAGGAUGAUGGUCUGGUGUAGAACAGGCUCUCUGAAGGCGGUUUGUAAUUGUGGUCACAAAAAUUAAUGUUCUGGGAGAACGGGAAGCAGCUCCAUUUUUUUGAGGGCCCUUUACACAGCUCAAGGUCUGGGUCCCAGGGUCCACCUUCAUAUUCCACCAACGAAUUUGUUCACAGGGGGUGGAGUGUAUGUGUGUGUGUGGGGGGGAUGUCCUGAUGUGUGUGUGUGUGUGUGUAAGGAAUGCAUUGUGUGAAUCUGUGUUUGUAUGUGUAAGGGCUGCAAGGUGAGUUUGUGUAUAUAUGGGAUGCAGUGUGCUCGUCUGUAAGGGAUGCAUUGCUUGUGUAUGUGUGUCUGUGUGUAAUGCAUUGUGUGUUUUUCUGUGUGCAAGGGGUGCAGUGUGUGUGUGUGUGUGUGAUGGAUGUCAAUCUCCCCUCCCUCCCUCCAAUUUCCUUCUUCUCCCCCCCCCCUCCAAUUUCCUUCUUCUCCCCCGUCUCUCCAAUGUCCUUCCUCUCCAAUUUCCUUCCUCCCCCCCCCUCCAAUUUCCUUCCUCUCCAAUUCCCUUCCUCUCACCCCCCUCAAAUUUCAUUCCUCUCCCUGCGCCCGCGCCAGGUGUCAGCAGAGCCAGCCUCUGGGGGGCCCUGAUGUGACCGGCUGCUGGGCCCCCCAGGAGAAGAGGCUGGCCCGGUGGGUACAUACCGGGGUCGCAGGGCCCCUUGCGACCCCGGUAUGUACCCACUGAAUGUGGGGCCCGGACGACCUGAGCAGUCUGGGCCCCCCAGGACCACCGGGCCCAUGACAACCGUUAUGGUUGUCAUGCUCUGAUGGCAGCCCUGAGUAUAACUUUUAGACUUGUCAAAGGCUAAAAAAUAUUGGCUCCUACAAAUUGAUUAGUUUGAAAUGUUUUUUGUUUCAAGCGAUUUGGAUUGCAAUUGUUUUGGGGAAAAUUUUUAAAGAAACUAAAAUUUGCACAAAUGUUCUAUUCAGUGUACUGCAAAAUAAAUACAUAAUAUAAAACCACACCAUUUGCAUUACAGAUCGAUCAUGUGAGGAGAAAUACCUAAUCAAUAGAGGGAAAAUGGAGCAGCAGUUAAAAUAUAAAUAUUUUACCCUAUAAACUUAGAUUUUAUUUACUGCGCCUCAAUUGUUCCCUUUGUUCACUAUUCAGUUGAUCUGUAAAAAAGAUUUAGUGCUUGUCGCCUAAUCAUCAAUCAUCUUUAUUUCCAUCAAUAAUCCUUUCUUUUUUUUUUUUUAAAGCCGUGGAGAGAACUCUAGAUCAUAAAGCAAACAAAACGUGUUUGUUUUUUUUUUGUGUGUGAUUUGGUCAUAUAGAGUUUUAGAGCUCAGAAUUUUGGAUGAAUCACCGAUCGUUAAAACUAUGGGAAAAUUGCAAUUGUUAUCUGUAAGUUCCAACAUAUUACACAGCAUUGUAUUGUACCAUUGGAAAAGUGUUUGAUGUGCAAGGAAAACAGAAGACCUGAAGAUAAAAUAAUUCAAAACAACAAAUUCAAAUCCACAGCCAGGUAAUGGCUUCUCCAAAUUUAAAAAAAAAAAGAUAACAAAACAAGAAAAAGACUAUCAUGUGCAGAUUGAAGUAAGAAUGAAGCAAUAUUUACUAUAAAGCAAAUUUAAAAAAAAAAUAAACACCAUAACAAUAUAUAAUGACCUGUACAAAAUGAGAAAGUUAAACCAAAAAUAAUUAGAUGUAAAACACAUUAAUGGUGGGGAAAUAAACCCAAAAGAUACCUGUAUGCCACAAUGUGUGUAAAUAUAAAGACAAUUUACUCAUUUCAUUCACAUCAUCUAUGAUUUUUCCCACUUUCAUAGUUUACAAUAUAGAUGAUAUAAUAUAUUUGUUUUAAUUAUAACAUUUAAAUGUCAUAGGUAGGUAUUGCUUAAUUUCAUUGUUACCUUGGCAUACACCUUCUUCUCUUCUUUUCCUUUAUGGAUCAUAACCCAGAGAAAACACAUGGAGUCAUUAAAAAAAUAUUUCUGUACCUCCAAACUGCAACAUUUUGGGAAAAUGUAUACAAUUUGACCUCAAAUUGCAAAUUUACGGUAGGUAUUCGCAAAAGGGCUUUUAUAUAUAAUCUUAAUUUUAUCACAGGAGGCUUCAUAUUUAGCAUAAACUUCCUUUACUACUCCAUAGCAGCAAAGACAUUAGAGAAAAAAAGGAACCAAUCAGACAGGCAGAGAGUAUAAUAUACGCCUUCCACUGAAUCACUUCCUCUUUCUUUGCUGCUCCAUCACAAGUAAGGUCAGCAUAUUGUGUGUCUACACUUUGUUGGCUUGUCUUGUUAUAUUUACUUAAUUUUACUUAUUUACUUGAUUGAUUUUUUUUUUUCUUACUGUAUACGUAUUUAUGGAGGGUUUUAUCUGAUAGUGGGGACGCUAUAACCCCAAUUGGUCGGAUUUCGGACAUUCAAGCAUUCCACGUGGAUGCCUUCUCAUUUUCUACGGAAGGUUUCACUCUUCAGGUGUCUCAACAUACAAGACGGACGUACAACGCCAGUUUUUUUUACCUUUUUUUUUUUUUUAUCGUAACCCAACUUUACAUGAUACAGACACUGCACACCUACAUACGGCCACGCUACGAUUACCUCAUCCCGACAAUUAUUGGUGUCCUACAUUAAGCCACAUGGGCAAGUCUCGGUUACCACCUUGACCCGCUGGGUACGAUGGCUUUUAUCUCUUGCCGGGAUUGACCUUUCUUUCAGCGCGCACUUAGUUUGGUGUGUGGCAGCCUCUUCCGCCUUCACAGCGGGGGCCUCCUUAUCAGAUAUAAUUCUCCUGGCAGACUGGUGACGAGAACCCACCUUUCGGACGUUUUACUCUCACCCGUCCUCCAUUGCUGCUUUCUCUCUAUUACCUUAGCGUUAAAAAUGCAAAAUGUGAAGCUUCUUGUCAUGUGAUAAAAUUGAAGAUUAUGCUAGCUUUAGUGUACUAAUAAUAUUAAUUUUAAUAAUGACAGGAGGCGAGUGUUUUCUCCCCUAUUGAAUUUUCCUCCCAUUCAGGUGUGUUCGCAUCUCCAGGCAAGUGAUGUAUAUUAUCAAUUUUCUUGUGACUAUGUAAUUGACUCUAUUCACUCUAGAUGGAAAGUUGGGGUUGUUUUUCAUAUAUAGUUGAUAUAUGUAUAGAUAUUCUAUAUUUGGUAGCUAUAUUAUGGUAUGUAUGUUAAAUUUUAUAGAUCACGAUAGAUUGUGAUAGUACCGAAUUAUUGCACACUUUUUAUGUGAUAGUUACUCAUAUUGUUCAGGUUUACAUUUCCUAUCACUAAAAUGCUACCAGUCUCUUUCAGCUUAAAAGAUACAAAGAUCUUCUACAUCAAGCGUACAAGGAUAUUCAGUGUUCCAGUUUUGCCUGAAUCCAACCGUUGUUCAUCGUUCCUGGAAUUUGAACGGUC